Molecule: long non-coding RNA, 88934 nt
Filed under: Sorghum bicolor (sorghum)
Lineage: Eukaryota; Viridiplantae; Streptophyta; Magnoliopsida; Poales; Poaceae
Description: long non-coding RNA (SBIC_LNC006821)
Rfam family: Plant small nucleolar RNA R71 (bases 26835-26941)
Source: RNAcentral
AGUGUGUUUAAUAAAUAAAUAAAGUGGCUAUGCUAAUCUGAAUCUUAAUAAUAAAACUCUAGCAUGGAUAUGAUGAAUAGUUGCUCUGCCUAAUUUGCAAAUUUGAAGUUCUCUAUCAAGUUUAGACAUAACUGUUAUAAUUUAAAGCUUGCUCUAGAUCUAAACUUGUGGGAUGAAAACUUGAUCUAAAAUCUAAGUUGUUAACGGAUAUGAUAUGGGAAGGUUGAGCUGCUGUUUAUCUGUUCCUAGAGAUGCUAGAAUUCUGGAGAAUUUUAUCUUUGAAAAAUAUGUAAAAUAUUGCAUGAUGAGUUCCUGUAUGAUGAGAGUUUAAAUUCCUACCACAGCCAUAUAUACAUGCUUGCUAGACUUUGAGCCACACAUUUACUAUUUACUGCUUAUGAGCAUUGAGUGUGGUCAAGCUGUGUAGACCCUUAGGAGCUUGUCAUGUGGUUAAAUCAAGAUUCACUUGCACGUUCACUCAUAUAUGCUACUUCUACUCUGGAAGUACCAUCCACAUAUAUCCAUCCAUGUCCAUCUACAGAACCACCCAAAAAUAUUCUACUCCUAAUCCGGGAGAGAAUAGCCAAAAAUAUUUCUGUUUUCCCUUGUGAAAUAAAUGCUCAAGUUAUCUUGCUACUACCAAUUGCUAUAUUAUCUCAAGAGAUGAGUGCUCUGGAAAAAAGAAAAGAGAAGAAAAGAAAAAAAAAUUAACGAGGAAAUAAAAAGGGGCAAGUGCCCGGAACCUCGAAAGAAAGAAAAAGUGAGACGAGAGGUAAAAAUGGACAAGUGUCUGACAGUAGAAUUAGGGGUACAAGAUACCCACCUGAGAGGAAAGAAAAAGAAGAGCAUCUCAUUCUUCUCAUAAAGUUUCAAAAAGCAAGGAAGGUAUGUAUCCCCUCAAAAGAGCAAAAGUAGAAUUAGACUUUCACCAUUGUUAGCACCAUCAUCACCAUACACCAUUCAUUCGCCACACAUGCACAUCUUGAUUUGGCUUAUUGAUUUGUUUCUUUGGAUCCAUGGUUUGACUAUACAAUAAAUGUCUUUUAAGUAUGUAUACUUUAUCUCCCACCUAUGAGCUCAGAUAUUAAAGCCUUAUUAGAGUAGGGUGAGAGAGAAGGCAAUGUCACUAUGCCUUAUACCACAAAUACCACAUAUCUUGAGAGAAGGCAUAUACCAUCACUGCCUUUGUAAGGAUCCAGAAAUACCACAAAAGAGAGAUUUAGAGAUUCAUACAAGGAAUCUCUGAGUUUUAUUUGAAAAUCUGCAAAAACUCCAGAGCUAUAGCUGAUCAAGAAUAAGAGACAUGGCACUUGGCUAGACUGUUCUAUCUUUUAACUACUCAAGAUAGAAGUGAUUGUUACAAGUCCCAUGGUGAAACGUAAAGUAAGUAAGUUUUAGUUCUUGACAGUUUACUCUAACUCAGAGAUGAGAUCUUAUUUAAAAGCAUGUGUACCAUCAAUUUUUUAAGAUAUUGCAACAACUUCUGAUCCAUUGCUGAGUCUAUCCUUGCUCAGGGACGAGCAAGAGGUAAGCUUGGGGGAGUUUGUUGACGGUCCUUAAGUAUCAAAUUUAAUUAUCAAAUAAACAAAGAAAAGGAUCCAAAUGAAAUCAACAUCUAGACUUAGGGUUUUAUCUGACAUAAUUCCACGAGUUUUGGUGUUUGUCUAUUUCUGCAGGGGGUUAUCAGGAAAUACGGAAGAAAGACCCACACGUUGGGAUUAUAUAGAGAUAUUAACGUGCCACGCAAUUAUCUUACAUCUAGAAGACUCCAGAAGCCACGGGAAGGAAGCAGAGGCCGAAUGGGGCCAGAGGCAGUGCGCCCACCCUCCUGCCCUGGGUGCCCGCCCUGACUUGGAGCCCAAUCAAGACUCUUUCUAUCGGGAGAUCUCCACCGACCUAAAGGACCAAGGAUAACCGUUCAAUCAAUGUCGGUUUGAUCCGACGGCCCAGGUUCAAUUGAAGUGACUAUAUAACCAGACCCCCUAGCCCCUGGAGGAGACACACCCCUUGAUCAUUAUUCAUUAUUCAUAGAUAGAGCAAAAGCUAGGGUUUAGAGAUGAGAGCUCUCCUCUCUUCUCUAAACUAGAGUAGAUCUAGAUAGUAGCAAGAUGGAGAGCCAAGGAGGAUUAGAGGAGAGGCCGGCCUGUUGGUUCUUCCUCCAGUUGUACUUCGUCAUGAUCAAGCUCUAAUCAAGCUUGCUCAUGGGAUGACUCUGGUAAUCUACUUCUAAUUCAUUAUGCAAUUACUAAUCAUGUAUGUUCUGGUUCACAACUCUUUUGAGUACUUCUAAUCUAUAGGACGCUAUAGGUUAGAGUUGUAGUAUAGGUGUAAGCGAUGUGCUUAGAUCUAGAUUACUUGUGGAUAUCCCCUGUCUAGUUAGAUCGUGUGGUAGGCCGCGUAGGCAACAAUUACGUUGGUCCUCUGUAGUCCACCUCUCGUUAGCAGGACGGGUAGGGUUUAUCAGCCUAUGGAUAAGCAUCCUUUUGUUGUAAUCUUAUCACGUGGUUCGUCCCAGACAUAGACAUACCCCUUUGAAGUAGAGAAACCAUAGUUAUCCUCUCUAUUCUGCUACCAUUGCCCAUAUACUAGAAUUGCUCUACUCUCUAUUCCCAUAUUAUCACUCACUGUUAUCUGACCUUUAAUAUUGUUCUUAUUCGAUUCUACCAUCUUUCCUAUUCACACCUAUCUAUCUAUCUUGGUUUAGUUAGAGCGUAGUUGGUUCUCCCGUUUCCCUGUGGAUACGAUAAAACCUUUAACCGGGUAAAAGCUUCAAUGGUAUCCGUGCGCUUGCGGAUUAUCUGUGUGUGUAUAAAUACCAUAGUACACUCUAGUGCCACGCUGGGGAUGACAACCUAGUAUUCAAGUGGUGUUAGCAAGUGUCAACAGUGCUUAUACCGUAUUUAUCUGCGAUUGUACCCAAUAUGCCAGAUCGUGGGGUAGUUCGUGAUAGUGACAGCUUCAUUGAUUCUUAUAUAGUCCCCCUCUCGUGUAUUGGGCUGGCAGAGCAAUAUUAUUACAGGGGAGUGAUUGCUAUGUUUCUCAUUUACAUUGCUAAUAUCACUAUGCAUGGGUGUAGUCUUGUCUUGCAAUGAUUGCUAAGUAUGCUUGCACUAAUUAUGAUAAUGCUAGACUAUAUAGUUGACAAUAACUUAGGGAAUAUUCUUGUAGUUCGUUCUAAUACCAUGCUAAUGACUUUCUAGAGUAUCUAAUUGAGGUGCUUAUCAUAUUUAUUAUGUGGCUAGAUCAAAUUAAUUAUACUUGUCACUAUUCAUUAUUUCAUAUAUCUUUUUAUGUGACACUUAUCCCUGUAUGAAAGAGUUAGAUAAAUUUUCUCAAUUAUACAUGCAAUGAUAGAUACUCAAUCUCAUAUUCUAUUCUGUAAUCAAUAUUGAUGAUUGUUAAUCCCUUCCCAGUGGUAAAAAUAUAAAUAACGAUACCUGGAAUACUUCCCGGUUAAAAUGCUACAUCGGUAUUAAUCUGUGCGCUUGCAGAUCUCAUUCAUUAUUUAUUUAGAAGAGCAAUUGCAUAUUUCAAUACCACGUCUCUCAUGUCAUGCUGGGGAUGACAACUUGGCUUAAGUGGUAUGAGGGAUAGGUUUGGCAUUUUUGGCACCGUUACUAGAUUUAGAGAACUUAGUCUACUCUUGGUAAUGAUGUUAAGAAUACCCAACAAGCAUUUUUGGCGCCGUUGUCGGGGAAGGUUGAUUACUAAUCAGGAAUGGAAUAAAGGAUUUUGAGUUAUCAUUCGCAUCACUAAUAUGAUUGAGCUUAUCUAUUCUCUCAUACAGUUUUACCCCGAUAUUUUUCUAUUUUAUCUUAUGCAGGGGAAUGUAUGAAUAGAAGACAUCUUCCAGGAAAUUUUGUUGACAAUCCCGAAGCAUUAUUCAAGAAGACGAGAGCCAAGCUCAAGAGGAGAUCAUCAACACUUCAGCAAGAAGCUUCAUCCAAUCAAGAAGAUCACUGGAACUUGUCUUCAGAGUUCGAAGCCGUGGCGAACAAAUCAAUCCGCGAGUUCUCAGCUCCCACUACGAACAACAUCCGCACUGGACCUGCUACAGAGAUCGAUGGAAACUUUGAGCUCAAGCCUGGUCUUAUCAACAUGGUGCAAUCCAACCAGUUCUGUGGGAAGCCACAUGAAGAUGCUAGUGCUCAUCUACAACACUUCCUGGAGAUUUGCAAAACAUUCACCAUAUCAGGAGUCUCCAGAGAUGCUAUACUACUUUGCCUCUUCCCAUUCUCACUGUUAGGAAGAGCGAAGCAGUGGUUCUACGCUACAAAGGAGAAGAAUACUACGUGGGCACUCUGCUCAACAAACUUCCUGGCUAAGUUCUUUCCCAUGGGCAAGACCAAUGCUCUCCGUGGGAAAAUUACAAGUUUUCAGCAACAAAAUGAUGAAUCUGUUCCAGAAGCAUGGGAGCGCUUCCAAGACUACAUCCUAGAAUGUCCCCAUCAUGGAAUGGAGAGUUGGCUACUGAUGCAGACGUUUUAUCAUGGGCUCGGCAACAGUGCCCGAGAGACCAUGGAUGCUGCAGCUAGAGGAGCAUUCUUAUCACUUACCAUAUCACAAGCCACAGCUCUUGUGGAGAAGAUGGCGUCCAACCAAGCCUGGAAUGAAGAGAGGACCCAGACACGCAAGAGAGGUGGAGGUAUGCAUCAGCUCAAGGAGGUAGACAUGCUGUUUGCAAAGCUAGACCUGCUCAUGAAGAAGCUCGACGAUAGAGCUGGAGAUAAGAAAGAAGUUAUGCACAUCUACGACUCUCACAUGAUUUGUGAGGAGUGUGGAGAUACUGGACACUCAGGCAAUCACUGCCCUGAGAUGCUUGAGGAUGUGAACUACAUCAACAACAACAACAACAACUACUACUACUACAACCGUCCUCAACAAAAUCAAGGCUGGAAUCAACAGAGGCCUAACUACUCUGGUAAUUAUUAAGGUAACAAUUCUUACAACAAUAAUAAUAAUUUUCCACUUCUGAGAGAGUUAGUGUCUAAUCAAGGAAAGCUAAUGGAUAACCUAUCUAAGAAAUUGGCAUCUAAUGAUAAAAUGCUAAAAAUAUAAAUAAUAGAAUGGAUAAUUUCUCUACUGCCAUCAAGAAUCAAAUUAGCUUUCAUAAAAUGAUUGAAUCCCAGUUAAAUCAAAUAGCUGCUGUUGUUCCUACUACUAACCCCGGUAUACCAUCACAACUGGAAGGAUUAGAAUCUGCAAAUCUUGUAGACAUGUUUGAUGCAGGUAUUUAGAGUAACCCCGUCACUGAAUUCAUUACUGACCUUCUGCCGGUCAAGAGAGGUGAUCCAGGACACCCCGUCAUCCCGAUCUCCAUCGGCAUGGUGGACGUCCCAGAAGCACUCUGCGACUUUGGCUCUAGUGUCAACAUUAUACCCAGGGUACUCUAUGAAAAAAUCUUUACAUAUCCUUUAUUAGAGACAACCAUGUGUUUGCAGUUUGCAGAUCAGACGAUAAGUUUUCCAAAAGGAAUAUUAAAGAACAUUUGUGUCCGAGUUGGUACCUUGUACGCCCCAGCAGACUUCGUAGUGGUAGAGACCGGUAAUGAUGAGAGAGCACCUAUCAUCUUAGGGAGGCCAUUCUUAAACACCACGGGAGCUAUCAUCUACGCCAGUGCUGCCAAGAUCAGUUUCUACAUCAAAGGGAGGAAGGAGACAUUUUUCUUCAAGAACAAGACUACACAAAUCCCAGAUCAAUCCAGACGUGAAUCAAGGAAGAGGACCAAUAGGAGGAACAGGAACAAGCAAGUGUUGACCGAGUCAGCUAAGAUGGUCACUGUAGUUCAUGGAGGCCAAGAUCAUAAACUCAAGUCACCGUUUUUGACUAAGAAGGACGACCCAGGAAUGCCAAGCAUCUAUUGCUCCAUAAAUGGAUACAGCUUCUACAAGACGUUUUGCGACACCGGAUCGGGCGUCAACAUAAUGGCCGUAGUCACCUAUCGGCUCUUGUUCGGAACCAUGCCCCUAAGACCAUCAUACAUUCAGCUCCAGAUGGCAGAUCAGACAUUUCGAGAGGUUAAAGGAACAAUAAUUGAUGUCCCAGUCAAAAUAGACGAUCAUUUUGUCUACACAGACUUUCAAGUUAUUGACAUGGGAGAAGAUGAGUACGAUCCACCCAUCAUCCUUGGAAGACCGUUCCUCAGCACUGUUAAAGCAAUUAUCUACAUUGGAACCGGAGAAGUCCAUAUGCACUUCCCCUCAGAGAGGUACGCCAUUAUUUUACUGACCCUAACUAUAUCUUUGAAGAAUCUAAGCAGGUAAGAAAAUAACGCAACCGCAACCAGAGGAGGCAGAUCAUCAAGGACGGAUGGGCAGACUACGAAGGAGAAGUUGUAAGAUCAGAAGACGUAGAGUUUAAAUAGAAUUAUCCAGAGGAGACCGAAGCACCGAGUCACCUAUCUUGGAAUGGCACACGAUUUAUGUUAAUUGUGUGUUGGUUGUAUCAAAUUAGGUUCCCUCUCUUAGGAGCCAAGCUUAUAGACUUGACUAUUAGUUUUUGAAUGUUUGAGCAUCCAUGUCGAUGCUUGAUAUGUAAACCCAUAUCCAGACCCUUAAGUGUUUGCAUAUACCACGGUUGUCCUACACCAGUUUGCAAAUAUCCUUGUCCAGCAAACUAGCUAGUGUCCUACACCAGUUUGCAAAUAUCCUUGUCCAGCAAACUAGCUAGGAUAAGUCCUCGCUACAUAAAGCAUUUGACUAUAGUUGUUCCUUGCUAGUUACGGAGACCAUACCAAAUCCAUGUUGGCCCUCCCGGUUGCCUCUCCCAAAGCUUAGUGUAAUACCCGAUUUUAAAGACAAAACCAGAUAUGCACCAUAUGCGAGUUUUAAAAGCCAAGCCUCACCUAUAGCUAAAAAUAAGGGGUAAUAUCAAAAGACAAUGCAUAAAUUAUAUAACGUACUUAGUAUAAAAGAGAUAACCUUUGAUAAAAAACAACGGAUAGACAACUCCAAACUUCAGGUAUUAACUUCACUCUACAGGAUCCAACUGACUGGUUGAUCACAAGCCCAAAACUUCUCUUGAGGUGUGGGGGAAAUUGCAAGAGUGAACACAUAUCGUACUCAACAUGUAUAACCAGGGGUUCAUGAGGCUCAAAUAGCUGACACUGGUUUGACUGCAUGUAGCUUUUAUAUGUAGAUAGCAUAUUUAUCAUUGGAUAGCAAAUGUCAAGGUAGCAUAAUUAAAUCCCAUAACCACAUGAUCAAUGUAUACAAGAAUUAAGAAUAACACAUAUAAACAACAUAAUAAACCAUCCUUUAUUAUCAUUAAUCAUGUUCAUCAGUGUCCAUCUAUUCCGUCAGUUUUUCGGGCCGCCCGUAUCCGUGGGCACGGCUAGUAUACCAGAUUUAACACUCUGCAGAGGUUAUACAUCUUUACCCAUGAGUCAUGAUUUACCCUUUCGCCCGAGGCCCGUCGACCUCAUAGCUCACAUCCGAGGAAAGCCGGCAGGGUUCACUAUGAAGUCUUUCAAAGGUUCGUCUAACAAGUUAGGGCCGGAAGGUUUCCUUUGCACACAGAUAUAGAUACCCCCCUUCCAAAUGGCACAAUGACGCGCAGCCUAUACACAUAAGGACAGGGGCUCGCACUAUACCCAAAACGGUUCAGCCCCUCCGCCCAUUCGGGUAACCUCUAACAAGCUAGAAAAUCUUACUCAUACUUGACUAAAGCCAGAGCCAUAUAGCCCUCAUGGUUGUACGAGUUGUCCCAACUUUUGCCAAGGGAUAAGUCCUUAUGGAGGGUUAAGAUCAAUCCAGCAAAAGCCAGAGUUCUUUCCACCCUUUAUAUUCAAGUUGCUAGAAAGCUUAUUUUAUUGUUUAUUGUAUAUUCAAAUAUUCAUGUUACAAGAUCAUGGAUUAUAUUCAAGCACUAGCAAGAACUACCCAAAUGCAUAUCCAAAAUAGGCAACAAGGAAUUCAGGAUAACAAUCAUCUAUGAUUUUGCUAAGGUCAUCAAGGUGGACACAUGCAUAUGAUAAAUGUUAUAUUAAUUGUGUAUAGGAAACAAGGAUGAUCCCCAGUUAUACUUGCCUUGAUCAAAGCUCUCCUGAGCCUGAUGUUGGUCGUCAAAAGCUUGACCUUGAUCACCAACGUAAAGCUCACCGACUAAACUCGAUCAUCAAUCAACAACACGCAAUCCAAUGUAGGCAAUCAUAAACGAAGCAAACAAGCUAUAAUUAGAACAAUACACCAAACAGUGGUAAAACAAAUAUAAAAGUUUAUUAAAGUAUUCUACGCAGCGCUACGAUCACAUAAACGUAAAGUUCGCGAAAAUCGGAGCUAAAACGGAAAAGUUAUGAAUUUUCUAAGAUUUUAUGUUGAAAAGAAAUUAAUUAAUUAAAGUCACGAAAUUAAAAAGUUUGAAACUAAGUAAACAAUUUUACUAACAUGUAGAGCUCAUGAUUAUGAACGUUACGCAAUUUGAAUGGGUCAAAACGGAAUUAAAAUGAAUACUUUUUGAUCAAUUAAAAUCUAGUGGCAAUUCUGUAAAUAGCGAAAACGUAAUUAGAACUGAGCCGAGAGAAAAUACGCUUUCAAAAUUGAGAAACGGCUUUCCCAGAUGACGCCAAGGACCGCAGGUUGAGCAUUGAAUCUUCCAGGGGCUCUUUAAGAAAAACACCAGCGAAGGGGUAUCUUCUAAUCUGGAUCGUUGAUCCACGAUCCAACGAUUGAGAUUCGAUCUAGGGGGAGGGAGAGGGGAUGGCUGGCCGGAAGAGAAACAACGGCGCGGUGGUGCCAUUGACGAGAGUCCUGCUCCUCGCCGGCGUUCGUGGAGAAGGCGCUAGGGACCAUGGUUUUCGAUGGGAAAAGAACCAGGGCGUAGAGGACCUCUAUGCGAACUCACCUAGGGGCUUCACGGGUCGGGGAGGAGCUCGGAAAAGGAUGUUCGACGCGAGGUGGCGCUCGGGUGCUCUGCAGACAGUUCGGGAAGGUUUAAGAGCAAUAGAUCGCGCUAGAGAGUAAAAGGAAGGGCUCAGCAUCUUCUUCACCUCAACCCGAAGCUCGGCAAGUGGUUUUCGGUGCUCUGGACGCAGCAGGUGGGGAAGCCCACGACGGCGGCGAAUUCGUUCAUCGGAGAGAUCUGAACCAAGGCGAGAGAGCUGCUGGGGCGGCUUCACGUCGCGUUAAACGGAAGAGGGGGUCGAGAGGGAGGGCACGGGGCUUUAUUGGCCUGGAGAAGAUCUCCUAACGCGUGAAAUCCCGACCUGAGCGGGAUUCGGUUUCCACCGAGAGCCCGGGGUCGGUGUGGACUCGAGGGAGAAGAAAGGAAGGGUGGGAGGGGAGACUGACACGCGGGCCCGGGAUGUCAGCGAACAGAGAGAGGAAGGGGAGGGAAGGGCGCGCGGCUGGGCUGUUGGGCCCAAGCAAGCUGGGCCGCGGGAAAAGAAGGAGGAGGCCUUCAGGCCGAUUUUCCAGGGAGAGGUGAGGGUUUCCUAUUAUUUUUUUCUUUUCUUUUGUUUAUUUCAAAGCCAUUUUCAAAUUCGUUAUAAAAUCACUUUGAAUUAUUUUUGAACUUUAAUAAAGCCACUCAGCACAAUAAUUAAAAUGCAUAAGCAUGAGUGCACAAAAAUGUUGCUACACCCUAUGAUUGAUUUUAAAUGACUAAAAAUAUUAUUUUUCCUAUAUUUUCAUGAGCACAAAAUACAAAAUUAAAUCAUUUUUCUCCUAUUUAAAAAGUUGUAGAUUUUUGGGUGUUACAAAUCUACCCCCUUAAAAUGAAUCUCAUCCUCGAGAUUCGAAAGAGCAUGGAUUCCAAAAGAGAAACAGGAAAAGAUCUUAAUACUCUUUCAACUUCACACUUGCAUUCCAACUGCAAACUCUUGUGUCUCGGGAUCAUAACUUAUGAACAAAGCUCCCAUAAGAUGUUUAUUAUUCAGAUUUGAUCAAAGUCUAUCUUGAAUUCCAACCUUUUGACUUACAACUCAAGAUCGUGAUAGCUUAGCAUAGAUUUGCCUCCUCAGGUAGGAGUGGACCACCUUGAUACUCGAUUCUUUUCCUUGAUGGUGCGGUUGAGAAAAUUUUCCACUGGAUAUCAUAGAUCACUCCUUUGUGUGCACAUGACCAUAAGAUACAUGAUAGUUUUAAAAACAUCAUCCCGUGAUAUCAAGGUACUACCCCCCUUAAGACGAGGUUGAUUGGGGGACACUAGGGACUAGUUCUCCUAUCCUUUUUAGAUGCUACACAUCAUAGUCUUUUAAAUUCCUUGUACCAAGUCUCUUAAUCCAGGGUUGGUUUCAACACUAAGUUCCAUCUAUUGGUACCUUUAUCGCAAUUAAGUUGUUUCACUCUCAUAUUGUAUAUGUAACUUUGUAGCCUUUGGUGUCAUCUGAUCCUCAUACACAACUCUUAAUCCAUGAGUAUCAGCAAUGACAUAUACCUCCAUGGAUAUUCUCUAAAUGAGAUGAUAUUCUUGAACCAAAAGAAAUUUACCCAGCGUUUGUGAUACUCACGUAUGAUCCAACACUAGUCAAUCCUUCUCGUUGUAACUCCUUUAACUAGGAUAUCCCCCUUAAGAAAAGUCAACUAGGGGACAAAAGGAAGGUAGCUUGCAUAUUUUCCAGACAAGUUGACUAGCACUGAGAGCUUUUGACAUCCCAAAGAACUUGUGUGCAAAAGAAUAAAUAGGUAUCCUGAAAUUUUCUCAUGAUAUGGAAACACCAGUGUAGUAAAACAGGUAUAACUCUUAUUCUGUCAUUCCAAUAGAGUUGUAGCUUAUACUGUUACAAAACUUAUGAAAUUCCCUACAACUUUCAUGUAGAAGACCUCCUUAGAUUCUGUCUUUAAGCUUAGGUAAAACAGUCAAACUUAAUAUCCAUCCUGACAAUGUCUCAGCAAAGGUGCAGUAACUUCCAGAGGUUAUAUCUCGAGCUCCUUAACUCAUCUGGAGAUGAUCCUUAUAUUGUUGAAAAGCUUAUGAAAUCCUCUACAUCUUUCGUGUACAACUCUUUCCCAGAUUCUGAAGUUAAUUUAGCUGAAAGUAGGAAAUACCAGAUCUGUCCAGAUUUUGAAACAGAAAAGAAACAUCCAAGUUUAAAUGUCAUAUCUCCGGUUCUACUUGUACAAUAAAGUUCCAGCUUAUACCGUUGGAAAGCCUAGCAAAUUGUCUAAUAAUUUUCUAUAGAACACGUUUCCAAAUUCUAUAGUUACAUAUGUCUAAACAGUAAGCAACCGAAACUGGUCCAGAUUCUUGACAGCCCAUCUGUAUCAUCUUGUGAUUUUUGUAACUUCCAAAUCAUUCUAGCUAUGAGGGUGAUUCUUGCGGUCAGAGAAAGAUCUUGAAGUCUAGUUGUUCCUAGAAAAAUUUGAUAAACUUUGCAUGAUCAGAACUUGAGAUACACCAGCAUUAUGGCAGACUACUUGAGAAAUCAGCAAGGGAUAGAAACAAGAGAUACCCAAACCCAACUGCUUAUUUCAUUACUCCUUAUGCCUUAGACCUAUAAACUAAAAGAUAUUAUGGAGAAAUCCUACAACAUCAUCGCACUCAUUACAAAGAUCCAAAUCAAGCAUAAGCAUAAUAACAAAACAAUUAAGCAUUGAAGGUUCACACUUCACUCAACUUGCGAUACUAUCGUUCUCUUCAUAAUAAGGGUAAGGAUCCUAAGAUUCUCUUUCAACUACGUAAAGCAGGUGGUAAGAAAAGAUUCUAAUAGCAUACCAAAUCAAAGAGUGAAGGUGGGAACAAGUACUUUUAAAAUAAGCAACAAGGUAAGGAUGAAUAGCGAUGGAAAGGAUAUAGUGGAGAGAAAAAUAUCAAGGCUUACAAAACAAGGAUUUUAUAACAAUUUCAAAAUCUUAAGACGACCAAUUUCUAACUAGGCUUGCAUCCUACAGCCAGCAUUGCUUUGAUACCACUUUGUAAUACCCGAUUUUAAAGACAAAACCAGAUAUGCACCAUAUGCGAGUUUUAAAAGCCAAGUCUCACAUAUAGCUACAAAUAAGGGGUAAUAUCAAAAGACAAUGCAUAAAUUAUAUAACGUACUUAGUAUAAAAGAGAUAACCUUUGAUAAAAAACAGCGGAUAGACAACUCCAAACUUCGGGUAUUAACUUCACUCUACAGGAUCCAACUGACUGGUUGAUCACAAGCCCAAAACUUCUCUUGAGGUGUGGGGGAAAUUGCAAGAGUGAGCACAUAUCGUACUCAACAUGUAUAACCAGGGGUUCAUGAGGCUCAAAUAGCUGACACUGGUUUGACUGCAUGUAGCUUUUAUAUGUAGAUAGCAUAUUUAUCAUUGGAUAGCAAAUGUCAAGGUAGCAUAAUUAAAUCCCAUAACCACAUGAUCAAUGUAUACAAGAAUUAAGAAUAACACAUAUAAACAACAUAAUAAACCAUCCUUUAUUAUCAUUAAUCAUGUUCAUCAGUGUCCAUCUAUUCCGUCAGUUUUUCGGGCCGCCCGUAUCCGUGGGCACGGCUAGUAUACCAGAUUUAACACUCUGCAGAGGUUGUACAUCUUUACCCAUGAGUCAUGAUUUACCCUUUCGCCCGAGGCCCGUCGACCUCUUAGCUCACUUCCGAGGAAAGCCGGCAGGGUUCACUAUGAAGUCUUUCAAAGGUUCGUCUAACAAGUUAGGGCCGCAAGGUUUCCUUUGCGCGCAGAUAUAGAUACCCCCUUCCAAAUGGCACAAUGACGCGCAGCCUAUACACAUAAGGACAGGGGCUCGCACUAUACCCAAAACGGUUCAGCCCCUCCGCCCUUUCGGGUAACCUCUAACAAGCUAGAAAAGCUUACUCAUACUUGACUGAAGCCAGAGCCAUAUAGCCCUCAUGGUUGUACGAGUUGUCCCAGCUUUUGCCAAGGGAUAAGUCCUUAUGGAGGGUCAAGAUCAAUCCGGCAAAAGCCAGAGUUCUUUCCACCCUUUAUAUUCAAGUUGCUAGAAAGCUUAUUUUAUUGUUUAUUGUAUAUUCAAAUAUUCAUGUUACAAGAUCAUGGAUUAUAUUCAAGCACUAGCAAGAACUACCCAAAUGCAUAUCCAAAAUAGGCAACAAGGAAUUCAGGAUAACAAUCAUCUAUGAUUUUGCUAAGGUCAUCAAGGUGGACACAUGCAUAUGAUAAAUGUUAUAUUAAUUGUGUAUAGGAAACAAGGAUGAUCCCCAGUUAUACUUGCCUUGAUCAAAGCUCUCCUGAGCCUGCUACUGGUCGCCAAAAGCUUGACCUUGAUCACCAACGUAAAGCUCACCGACUAAACUCGAUCAUCAAUCAACAACACGCAAUCCAAUGUAGACAAUCAUACACGAAGCAAACAAGCUAUAAUUAGAACAAUACACCAAACAGUGGUAAAACAAAUAUAAAAGUUUAUCAAAAUAUUCUACGCAGCGCUACGAUCACAUAAACGUAAAGUUCGUGAAAAUCGGAGCUAAAAUGGAAAAGUUAUGAAUUUGCUAAGAUUUUAUGUAGAAAAGAAAUUAAUUAAUUAAAAUCACGAAAUUAAAAAGUUUGAAACUGAGUAAACAAUUUUACUAACAUGUAGAGCUCAUGAUUAUGAACCUAACGCAAUUUGAAUGGGUCAAAACGGAAUUAAAAUGAAUAUUUUAUGAUCAUUUUAAAUCUAGUGGCAAUUCUGUAAAUAGCAAAAACGUAAUUAGAACUGAGCCGAGAGAAAAUACGCUUUCAAAAUUGAGAAACGACUUUCCCAGAUGACGCCAAGGACCGCGGGUUGAGCAUUGAAUCUUCUAGGGGCUCUUUAAGAAAAAGACCAGCGAAGGGGUAUCUUCUAAUCUCGAUCGUUGAUCCACGAUCCAACAACUGAGAUUCGAUCUAGGGGGAGGGAGAGGGGAUGGCUGGCCGGAACAGAAACAACGGCGCGGUGGCGCCAUUGACGAGAGUCCUGCUCCUCGCCGGCGUUCGUGGAGAAGGCGCUAGGGACCAUGGUUUUCGAUGGGAAAAGAACCAGGGCGUAGAGGACCUCUGUGCGAACUCACCUAGGGGCUUCACGGGUCGGGGAGGAGCUCGGAAAAGGAUGUUCGACGCGCGGUGGCGCUCGGGUGCUCUGCAGACAGUUCGGCGAAGGUUUAAGAGCAAUAGAUCGCGCUAGAGAGUAAAAGGAAGGGCUCAGCAUCUUCUUCACCUCAACCCGAAGCUCGGCAAGUGGUUUUCGGUGCUCUGGACACAGCAGGUGGCGAAGCCCACGACGGCGACGAAUUCGUUCAUCGUUGAGAUCUGAACCGAGGCGAGAGAGCUGCUGGGGCGGCUUGACGUCGCGUUAAACAGAAGAGGGGGUCGAGAGGGAGGGCACGAGGCUUUAUUGGCCAGGAGAAGAUCUCCUAACGUGCGAAAUCCCGACCUGAGCGGGAUUCGGUUUCCACCGAGAGCCCGAGGUCGGUGUGGACUCGAGGGAGAAGAAAGGAACGGUGGGAGGGGAGACUGACACGCGGGCCCGGGAUGUCAGCGAACAGAGAGAGGAAGGGGAGGGAAGGGCGCGCGGCUGGGCUGUUGGGCCGAAGCAAGCUGGGCCGCGGGAAAAGAAGGAGGAGGCCUUCAGGCCGAUUUUCCAGGGAGAGGUGAGGGUUUCCUAUUAUUUUUUUCUUUUCUUUUCUUUAUUUCAAAGCUAUUUUCAAAUUCGUUUUAAAAUCACUUCGAAUUAUUUUUGAACUUUAAUAAAACCACUCAGCACAAUAAUUAAAAUGCAUAAGCUUGAGUGCACAAAAAUGUUGCUACACCCUAUGAUUGAUUUUAAUUGACUAAAAAUAUUAUUUUUCCUAUAUUUUCAUGAGCACAAAAUACAAAAUUAAAUCAUUUUUCUCCUAUUUAAAAAGUUGUAAAUUUUUGGGUGUUACACUUAGCUUGUGUAAUGCAAUCUCUUAUUGCCUGAUCUCUGAAUCUUUUGCUUAAAAUCAUGUCUCAACUCAAUCUCUGAUCGGUGUAGCAUUUUUACCUUUGGAGUUUGCUUAAUUCAUCUCCAACCUUCCCAAGUAUUGGGAUUCUUAUCGGCUUUGAUCUCAUGUUCCUACCCAACAUGACCGCAUCUCAUAAAUUCAUUGUUGGGUAAUGGCCUUGAUAGGCAUAAGGCGUAUCCAUUUCUGUAUUGUGCCGUGUUCUCAUCCUUUAACCUUCUACUUGUUACCUCCAAAUCUUGCUGUCAUCUUUACUUGCUUUAAUUUUAUCUUGCACAUGAUUCUUGUCCAUGCAAGACCUACCUAUGUCAUGUGAGAUUUCACAUUGGUUGUAAGAUCAAUAAUAUUGUCAUGAUUAACGAUUGGCGGUGCCGUGACGAAACCAAGAGCAUCCUGUGGCUAUAGACACAAGGUCGUGCUGCUCGGCACGCACUGGUAUCGUGGUUGCUAGUCAUGAUCUAUUAUAAAACUACACCACUGUGUUAUCUUCUCAUGGUCUUGUCCUUGGAUAUCUUUCCUUAUCUUCAAUCAAAGGUUCUAUAUCAGACUUAUGUAAUAGGACUUCCUUCUGAAGUUGCUAAGAAGAUAACCUUUGAAGAAUAGGUUACCGACAUAAAUCUUAAUAGACUGUAAGGGGUGGUGGACAAGAGACUCUAUUUGCUACCCAUGUAGCGAUAUCAGUCGUUUAGUGAGUAACUUGUGUCAUCCACUGUUGAAUCCAAAUGGCACACAACACUUAAAGUUGGACAAGUUAUCAGUCAGACAAGAAUUGAUCCAAAUCUUGAUCAUAGUGAUCACAUAGUCAUAAUCAACCAUCUCUAUUGUGAUCUCAUUUUUGGCUAACUUUGAUCUUGACUGCCUACAAAUGGAUCAACUACAAUUGUUGCCACCAAAGAAGAGAGUUUUGGAAAUUUUUAGUGUUCAGAGACAACUGAUUUGUUAUCAGUUAGAAGGUUAAUCACUACCUUGGAAACGACUCCAUGAUAUCCCUGAAGGCUACGUCUCAUAAAAUAGUGUCAUGCAAAGAAAACAAUAAGUUGAUCAACGAUGCAAAUACUAUUUCCUUCUCUAGGCCCUAUGUUGUCAAGUCAAUUCAAUCUUGGACAAUCACAUAGAAGGUACCAAAUGCUAUAUCUAAGUCACAAGCUAGAGAAAAGCACAUCCCUAGUCUCGGUUAGCAUCAUUAUAUGUGUGGUGCUAUCAAAGGUUUUGUUUUGUUUGGUUAGCCAUAUGGUGUUUGUUUGUACUAAAUUUUGGUUAAUCAUCAGAAGACUCUUGGAUCUAUAUACACACUAACAAUUCAUGCAUAAUGAGGCUAGUUUGUGUGGUAUGAACUGAACCAAGAUGAACCUUAGGAUAACCUAGAAAAUACUCCUUGCACCCUUGGACACCUAGCUGUUACCCUAUCACAUCAACCGACAGUUGAGCAAUCUAGGCGUUCUACAAGUCAAAAAUAACUGGAAAGGUGUUAAACAACAAAUCUUAUAUUUAUUAUCUUAGAGCUGUUGUUUGGUCCUAGUAAGGAAUCCUCAAUCUCAAAAGUAGUCUCACCAAGCUAUUCUACUACAAUGCAAGUCGACCCAGAACCUACUAAGUCAUUGCUUAAUGAAGGAAAAUUUUAGUUGACUUGCUUGAUAGUAGCUUGUUUCCCUAGUUCGGUGAAUACUAGCAACUUUUGUUGUCCUCUAGACCUUGCUAUCGCCCAUCUUUAACAAUGCCAAUUUAGUACUAACAUGCCUUGGGUAUCUUCUAUGUUCCUUUUACCCAAGAGGUUGUAUUUGAUACAACCUAGGUAACUGUUAACCCUUGGAGUCAUGAAAUUCCUUGAAUGGUGAGCAUUGACUUGAUAGACUCAGAUAAUACAGUGUUGUUAUCAGAGAAAGAGAACUGCACACAUGGAACCUUAUGUAGCUUUCCAUUGACUGGCAUCUGAAUGAUUAGACCUUAUGACCAAAAUAAACAUUGUUUAUCGGUUAGCUGGUUUCUCAUAACCUCAAAGGAUGUUUAUCUAGUUCAUGAUCUCAUCCCCUACGAAAGGUUGUACUCAAGCCAUUCUGGUAGAGGACUGCUUUUUGAGCCUUAUGAACAUAGAUGGAAACAUUGUAAUGAGUAGUUUACUAUGCUCCAAACCAUCCAUCAUACAUUGGGAAUGAAGUACAUGUGAUAGUGAUGUCUUGAAUUCCUCCCAAAGUAACAAUGCUUCAUGGAAGUCAAUGGAGGAAAUUCUUUAGACAAAAAUUCACUACGAAGAACAAGUAUCAGAAAGUGUCCUGACCAAAUUAGCCUCUCUGAUGCUCGAGGAUAAGUAGUUGACUGCUAUCGCCAAUGUUAGAAGUGAAUAACAUGCUUCUCUACCCUUGGAAGUCUUUCGCCCUAAAUCUCGGGACAAGAUUCUUUUAAGGGGGAGGGUAGUAACACCCUAGGUGUUUGCCACUAGUUAGACCUUAGGUUUGAGCUCAAACAUAUCAUGAUAAGUGGUGAUGAUCAUGUUAAAGUCAAUCAAUGAAAGUGAGCCUCAAGUUUAACUUGGAGAAUGCACCAUUGCUUACAUAUCGGCCCUUUUCAAAGUGCAUGCUUGGGUGACAUUAAUGGAACCUCUUUCAUGUGUCCCACAUCUAUCACUGCCUAUAGUGAUCACUCAAAAAGUUUCAUAAAGUUCGAAAUCAAAAGGUCACAUGAAAUGAUAAGUUACAUACUUGUUGGAAUGACCUCAUUAAGUGAAUGGAACCAUGGGUCAUCAACCAAUAUUUGCAACCUUUCCCAAAUGACUCUAGAUGAACUCUACAACAAAAGUCAUGAAGGGUUCAUGUUGAGCUUGUGCCCAGAAAAUACUUCAAGUGGCCUAAAACCUUAAUUCAUGCUUUAUCAAGUUGCUGCUUUGACCAAAGUGCAAGUUUGAUUUCUAUACUAGUUCUGAGAUUUGACCUUAAAUAAAAGUUGUAUUUUUAGCUUCUGUAGAACAAACAUUGUUUAAUGGUCAAGAGCUAGUUUGGUCCCUAACCUAGACAAAUUGAGCUUACAAGAUUCAAUGCAGUGCUGUUUUGGAACACCAGAAUUUUGGCCAAGUCCUCAAGGUGUUUAGUUUUGGGUAUCCAUGUUGGGAGCUUUGUAUCUUCCAGUCCAGGCCAAAAUGGUAUAAGGUUCUUUAAUAAAAGUUGUAGCAUAGUUUGUAUGCUACAAACUUUGUUAAAGUGCCUAAGUCCGAAUCAUCAUCUAAGCAUAUCAAUUAAUGGUCAUAAUAUUGAAUCUGCUAUAGUUUUCAGCACUUCGAAUUUCUAAGUCUAGGUUUGCAGUUCAUUUCGUAGGCAUCCCGCGUUCUCCUAAUUCUUUUAAACAACUUGCUUGGGUCGCAGAAUAAAAGUUGGAGUACAUAUUGUGGACAAGAGCAUACCGAAAGAUGACACUAGUUCGACUUUUUUUGUCAUCAAUUUCGAGUUUCGCCAAUCACCAUCAAUAUGUUAACACUAGUGGUUUGGCAUCAUGUUAUCUCUUAAUCGGUUACUCUAAUGGCUUUAUACUCUGAAUCAAAGUUGCAGAACAGGCCGAGCUUGGCAUACUUUGGCCCAUGUCCAAAUUCAGCCUGGAAGAAGCCCAAAAUUGACUCCCACCAUGGCUACCCCGGCGCGCACCACCUGCUCGACGAAAUGCUUCAAGAGGUGACACGCGUCCUGGACGUAGCAUUCAUGCAGAGUUCGCGUCCCCACCAUUGCUACAGCGUGCCACUGCCUUCUACUCGCGAUGGGGACACACCAAGCCGUUCCCAGACGGUCCCCACUCCUCCUGCUCGCCCUCACUCCCUUCUCCUCGCUCUCCGCCGCGGGAACGCCGCCGCGUCCGCCGUGGCCGACGGUAUGAGCUCGCACCUGCCGCAAUGCUCGCUGCUCCGCGCCUCCUCAGCCCAAGCUAAGUACCUCAGUGCCUCUGCCGUCUCCUCCUGACUGCACUGAGCUCCAUUUCCGGCCCCAACCAUCGCUGGAGCACCGCCACCGUCGAGAGCAGACCGCCGCCGCCUCCUCCUGCCGUGGCUAGGCCGCCACGGGCCCUCUCCUGGCCAUCCAAGACCACCAGCAAGUGUGCGCUAGCCUACUGGUGCUCCCCCACCACUCCAUCACCGCCGACGAGGCUCCGACUAGCCGGAACACGAAGCUCCAGCGAGUCCUGUGUUUUCGUGCGACCAGGGACCUCGGGAUCGAAUUUGACUAAAGCCAGGGGUUUUUUGCAGAACUCAUGACCCAGAUGAAUAGUGCUUUGAGGACCUAUUUGUUUUGGAGAAAUGCUGUAACUUUGAAAAUCCAUAUAAAAUCAUAGCAAAAUCGUAAAUUAACAAAUGUAGACUUUUUAGAAUCCAUAUGAAAUUCUCUAUGCAGUAGAUCUAUAAUAUACCAUGUUUUAGUUUAAAGUUUUAGCUGUAGAAAAGGUUUUUAAUACUAGUUGAGAUUGUCUUUUUUAUAACUGCUGCUGUAGAGCUCCAAAUGAAGUGAAAUUUAUGUGGCCUGCUAUUCUUGUGAUGUUUGAUGCAUGCUGAAAGUUUCAUGAUUUUUGGUUGCAGUGUGGUUGAGUUAUUGAUUUAACUUGCAUAGGGCUUGAUAAAGGGUUUAUUAUUAUAAUUAAAAAUGUAAAAAUGGAAAAGGUUGUUCUAGUACAAUCCUAUGAUAUCAUUGUAUCAUAUUAAUAUAUAAUAUGGUCAAGUGUUUGAAGAAAAUAUGGUUUGUGCAUUUAUCUUGCUCUCACAUGGUUAAUUCUAAUAGCAAUUUGUCUUUUUCAUAGAUGUUGCUAUGUUUAUUCAAAUGUAAUGAAAUUUGGGCAGUAGACUAUGGAUAGUAUGUAGAAGCUACUAUAAGUUUGGUCGAAUUUAGUGAGCACUUUUGUUAUAUGUUCUUUAAUUCACCUUAUUAUCCAAAUAAAUUAAGAAAGGAAUUAAAUAAAUUUAUUUGGUAAUGACCACUAUGUUUUCUGGUGUUCUUUAGAUAUAUGCCAACUGUUGCUAACAAUGGUUUUGCUCAAAUCCAUGUUUGAAACAUAAGUUAAUAAUUAAUUGUGUGCAAUUGUUGUUUCUGGACAGUUUCUGGAACUGUUUGGAUUACAAUAUGUAAAUGACUUUUUCUGGGAAUCUUGUUCAUAGCAAAGUUGUAGAUAAUUUAUUUAUCUAGCUGCUUUUAAAAUUUGGUAGUAUUUGGCCUUGUGGUUUGUGAGUUAUGUCUAUUCAAAGUUUGAUUCCAGAAAUGGCUGCUCUCUGUUUGUCAGGGACAGAUACUGGAACUUUAUAAUUUCGACCAGCUUCAGUUAAGAAUCAUGCUUUUAUGUAUAAAUAUCAAAUGUAGAUAAUAUCUUAAGAUUUCCAGAAUGUCUUCUUACAUAUAUUUUGGAGUUGUGUAACUCUAGUUAUGAUUUAUUUUCUCAGCUGCUGUUAACAGUCCUAAAAAUUACAGAUUCCUUGUAUUGUUGUUGCUUGGUAUAUUGCUAUGUAUGACUCAUGUCUUUGAUAAUGGCCAAGUUAAUACACCUGAGUGUUGACACUAGCUAACACCACUUAGAUACUAGGUUGUCAUCCCUAGCAUGGCGCCAGAGUGUACAAAGGUAUUUAUAAAUGUAAAGGCUCUCUAGAAAAUAAUCUAUUCUAUCCGCAAGCGCACAGAUAAAACACCUCAUUGUAGCAUUUCACCAGGAUAAGUAUUUCAGGUAUCGUUAUUUAUAAUUUUGCUCAAGGGAUCUAAAGAAGAUGAAAUUAAAUCAUAAAGAAUUAUAAGUUCAUGGGUAGAUAACACAGCGAUUAGAAAAUAGACUACUCCUCAUAUAUGUAGGUGAUGUCAGAUUAGCUAGAGAAUGGAUUCUAAGUUAUCUACUAACUACUAAGUCAUAAUCUACUCUAGUUAUCUACAAGAUCAUAUAUAGCAUAAAAGACUCUUCAUUCAUGUAUAAGGAACAUUGAUAAAGUAAAUCAGAGCAUCGCAUGACUUACUCCACAAUACCGGUUCUGCCUGUCCUAUCAACGGAGGGUGGACUAUAUAUGAAUCAACGAAGCUGUCACUAUCGCGAACUACCACACGACCCGGCCAAUAGGAUACAUUUGCAGAUAAAUAACAUCUAAGCACCACGCUCACAUGUGAUCUAUCACCUAACUCCCUCGCGUCAAGAGCUAAGCGCUUUGCAAACUUAUACAUAAACUCAUUAUCAAUUAGAACUAUAUCAAAUAUAGAACUAGAGCAAACUAAGAACAUAAUAAUUAGAGACAUAAUGCAAUUAGAACAAUAGAAUUAGAUAAAGAUAUGAAUAAUACCAAUCUUUAUUACCGAAGAUCCGAAUCCAGAGCGUAGUGCUCUACUUCUCUAAUUGCUAUCUAAUCAACCUCUAAACUUGAAGGAUUAGGGAGUAGCUAAUUCUAAUUCUCUGUGGGAGAGGUGUUCUAAACCCUAACUUUGAUGGCUACCUCUGAAUAAUGAUUUCUCCUCUCUCCUCCAGGGGCCAGUCUGGUUUUAUAGUCCCCUCAAGUAAACGUGAGCCAUUGGAUCAAACCGACAUAGAUUGUAUGGUUUAGAUUGAUCCUUUAGGUCGGUGGAGCGUAGUCCCGAAGUAGAGUCCCGAUCCAACUUCAACCCUAGGUGGGCGCCCAAGGGGGGUGGGCGGCCGCCCUGCCCCCGAGCCCGAUCGUGCUCUCGUUCGUUCCCGUGGCUUCUGGACUCUUCUAGAUUGAGGAAAAUUGCGCGGCACGUAAUUAUCUCGUUGUAAACAUGACAUGUGGGCCUUCUCUCCAUAUUCUCUGAUAACCCCCUGCAGAAAUAGAUAAACACCAAAACUCGUGGAAUUCUGUCAGAUAAAACCCUAAUUCUAGAUGUUUGUUUCAUAUUGAUCCUUUUUCAUUUUUAUUUGAUUAUUAAUUUUAGUACUUAAGGACCGUCAACAAACUCCCCCAAGCUUACCCUUUGCUCGUCCCUGAGCAAACAGCUAAACUCAGACGGAUCAGGAGUUGCUUCGAUGUUUUCUUUCCUGACAGGUACACAUGCUUUUAAAUAAAAUUCUUCCAGAUUAGAGUGAAGUGUUAUGGAGUUUAGAACCUGCACUUAAGUCUUAAGUAAUCGAAAUACAAAAUAGUUAAGUCAAGCACUAUCCCUCCUGUUUAUACUUCACCUUUGUUCCAGAGUUUUUUAUAAGUUUUCAAAAUAAAACUCAGAGUUCCCAGCAAUGAUUCUCUCAAGUCUCUAUAUAUGUGGUAUUUGUGGAUCCUUACCAUAAUGUCACUUACCUAUAGCUAAUGGAAUAUUUAAGUGGAGCUUAUAGGAGUGAAAAACAGCUCAUACAUAUAUUGUCUAAUCGAGCCAUGGAUCCAAAGGAACUCAGCAUAUAAUUAAAUCAAGAUGUGCAUGUGUGGUGGAGUAAAUGAUAGUGAUGGUGAAAAUGUAUAAGUGUUAAUAAAACUUAGUUCUCAUUGCUCCUCAUAUUGCUACCUCUUCUCUUCUUUGAUCUUUGCUUUUGGAAAACAUGGGCUAUCUUUUCUUUCUUUUUUCUCUUUUUUUUUCAGGUGGGUAGUAGAUACCCCUAAUUCUACUGUCGGACACUUGUCCAUUUUUUCCGCUCAAGUGGGCAUCUUUGUACCCCUAAUUCUACUUCGGACACUUGUCCAUUUUUACCUCUCGUCUCACUCUUUUUCUUUCUUUAUCGAGGUUCCGGGCACUUGCCCCUUUUUAUUUCCUCGCAUAUUUUUGCAUAACCCAUGCCUCUUCUGCAUUGAAUCUUUUUAGAGAGAGAGAAUAACAAUAUUCGGGACAGUGAGUGAAAAUAUUUUUAGCAAUUUUAAUGAAUGGUGAUGGAUGGUGUAGUAGAUGUGUGCAAGUGAAUAUCUUAAUUUAACCACAUGAAAAGCUCCUAAGGGUCUACACAGCUCGAUCAAACUCAAUGUAAAUAUAGUAAAAGAUGUUAUAGCAUGUAUGGUUGUGGUAGGUAGUUUGCAAUGCUAGGAACUCAUCAUGUGAUUUGUAAUUUUUCAAAAUAAAUCUCCAGAACUUAGUGUAGUAGGAACAAGAUAAACAGUAGCUCAACUUUAUAUCAUGCCUUUCUCUUACCUAGACUUUAGUUUUAUGCUUCCAAAGAUAGUAAUUUCAGUUUUAGUAAUUCCUGGAAGAUCUCUAAUAUAAAAGCUAGGUACUUGUAAGUAAGCAAACAGAGCAACUUGUUCAUCAUUUCCAUCAUGCAUCUUUUUGGUCUUUUUAUUUUUCUAGAGAUUAAACUUAGCAGGAAAAUAAAGCACACUUAUCUACACACUCUUUUUAUUUUGUUUUCAUGUUUAUUAAAGUGCAGUGAAUUAAAGCAAGAAAAUAUUUAUUUGGUUUUCUAAGUUUUUCCUUUUAAGAUAAAUUAAAUACUAAGACAGAAUAGAAUAAAUAAGAAGAGCAAAUAAAAACUUACUUGAUAAAUUUGAGAGGAACUCCCCCAAGCUGGAUGUUGCCGUCGGUCUUACCCGAUGUUCCAGAACCGCAUCAUGGUUGUAAUGUUGUCGUUCAUUGUUGUUGUAUCUUGUCUUAGGUCUUCUACUGCAGCUGCAUGGUCUUGGUUCCAUUUUUGUUGUUCUUCCAGGAGUCUUCCAUGUUCUGCUUGCGUGUUCUGGAUGUCGAGGAGGGUGUUGUCGGUGCGAGUGAAGAAAGCACCGGCCUCUUGAUAGUAGUCAUUCGUGAAAGCGUAGGAGGCGUCGGAGUAUCGUCCUGCAUCAAAUUGGGGCGGAGGUCUCGAUCCUGAAGCUCCGUAUGGAUCAGUCGAGUACCUCCCCGUAUGGAAAGGCGGGUUUGUCCACUGGUGAUCUUGGCUCUCCGGCCAUGUCUCCUCUGUUGGCUCUUGUGGUUGCGCAUGUCGAGCCCAUGGGUCUCGAAGGACUCGAGGGUUGUAAUCGCAAUAAUGCAGGUGCGCUGCUUCUUCUGGUCCAGGGUUAGCUCCAUACCAGGUGCGUUCUCGGUGAGUGGUUAUCCUUUCGGAAGCCACUCGCUGUGGAGUUCUCUGGUUCACUGGUGUUGCUGCAAUGUCAAUCAAAAAGUUUUGCACAACGUAGAGGCCAAGGUUUGGGUUAGGUAACCGAAUCUUGCCUUUAUCAUCAUAUAGCAUAUACAUUAUAUUUCCCUCUUUCUUUAACAUCCGAGCUUGUCUAAAUGUGUCAUAGCCAUGAUAAAUUCUUAAUUCUUCUAUGAAAUCCAACGAUGAGUUUUCUAGUAAGUGAAGAUUAGAAGCUAGACGAGUGAUAAGUGAAGUACAUCCUACUGGUCCCUGAAGACUAGGUAUACUAAGGCAAUGUGAAACUAAUAGUGUAACAGGUGAAGUGGGUACUUUACUAAUAGCAGCAUAUAAAAGUUGUAAAUCUCCUACUCUUACUUUCCUAAUAUCAUCACGAUAGAAAAGAUUGUACCCAAGCCAUUUGUGGAACAUCCUAAGAGUGGGGUGUUCCAUGUCACUGGUUCGGGCUUGACUGUAAAAAUUAUCUCUAGAUAUUUCUCUCUAAAAUUGGUGUCUCUCAAAAUUGGGUAAAUCGGAGUCAAUGUUCAGGAUGCAUCUUGAAGAGAAACCAAGAUGGUCGCUUAGCUCUCUCCAAGACAACAUAAUUUCCUCUUUGAACAUCCGAAAAACAAUUCCCCCCUCAUAGUAUUGUAAAGUGCAAAGAAAUUCGAGGGUGAGAAGACGAGAACCUAGCUCAGUUAUAUUCCAAAAAUUUAUCCAACCUAACAUCUGGAAAAUUAAGUCAAAUUCAGUGUCCAUACCUGUUUCUUGUAGUAAGAUUGGAUCGAUAGUAGGGGUGUGAAUGAAAUCUUUGUUCUUCAGUUGCUGAUAGACUUCCUUCUCUCUUCGAGUCUUCAGUCCAAGGUCUCCUAUCUUGAGAAGGACCUUAACUUGCUGACCUGAUGAAGAUGAUGGAGCUUGUGUGGGUGUCGGGUCGACGCUCAUCUCUGAUGGCUGUGAGGAGUGUCGAGCUGAACUCCUUGUACCAAUGUUCUUGAGAGCUUUUCCUGCAUCCUUCACCUUCUUAAACAUCCUGCAAACAAAAGUUGGCAAAAACAACUUUUACUUCUGCUUAGACAACGGGAUCACUGCUUGGUAAGUGAUACUCACUCUCUAUCAACUUCUUUCCCACUCUUCUCUUUCUUUCUACUCUCUUCUCUCUUCACUACAAGAGCUCUUUUUGGAAACUGAUACUUGUGUGGUUUUCUGGAGUGCUUGUGUGAAGAAGAUGGAGGUAGAAGGUGGCUAUUUAUAGGAGGAAGAGGGAGCAGGGCGGGCGCCCUAGGUAGGUGGGCGGGCGCCCACUCCUGGUGUCCAUCCUGGGUAUGCCUCUUCCACUUGCUUCCUUGCUUUGAUCUUACGCAGAAUAAUGUUGUGUGGUGGUAAGAUGUCUGGUGAGUGGAAACAUAUUGGUGGAUGAAAUAAUGUGAUGGGAUGUAUGUGAGGUGUGGUGUAUGACAUGUGGGACCCAAGGAGUGUGGGUCAUGCUUCUAGAAGGUUACGAUUAUUAAAUAUAAUGCAGGAAAAUCUAUGACAAUUGAAACUUAAUUAAAAUGAUAAUGGAAAAUAUUUUUGUGCCUCCACAAUAAUUAAUAAAUAUGGGUUGUUACACACCAUGAAUAUUAUUUAUAUGGGGCUUUUCAUUAUUAUAAUAAUGCUAUGAAUAAAUAUGACUAAUGCAAGAAUUAAUUAUGCAAGAAUUUAAAUAUGAGAAAAUUAAUAAUGCGGAUAAUUACCGAUUUACCUCCCGGUGAGGGUUUGGGAUUUUUAGGUCCCCCAAGCUGGACCUCCAAAUCUUUUAAUCUUCUGAGUUACCUUCCUCUAGAGAUAGUGUCUCCAGUGGUUCUUCAUGAACUUCCUUCACUGUAGAGUCUCUCUCUGGUCUGGGUUUGAAUGUGAAGUGUUCUUCUUGACCGUUUAUGUUGAACUUGAUUUCUCCCUUCCCGACAUCAAUGUGAGCAUUGGCAGUGCUCAGAAAUGGCCUUCCAAGGAUGAUGGACACUUUUGAGUCAGGACUCAUGUCCAGUACUACGAAGUCUACCAGCACAAGGAAAUCUCUGAUCUUGACUGGAAUGUUCUCGGCGAUACCCAGCGGGUGUCGAACCGAUUGAUCCGCUAGUUGUAGACACAUUGAUGUUGGUUCUAAGGUUGCAUGAUCAAGCUUUUUGUAGACUGAUGCUGGCAUCACACUGACACUUGCUCCGAGAUCACAAAGUGCAUUGUUGAAGUGUUGGUUUUCGAUCGAGCAAUCAAUAGUGGGACAUCCAGGAUCUUCCUUCUUCUUUGGUGGUUUAUUGAGGAUGGCCGCACUACAUUCUUCUGUCAGCUUGAUAACCUCAGUGGUGGGCAGUGGCCUCUUCUUGUUAAGAAUAUCUCUGUUGUACUUUGCAUAUGUAGGUACCUGUAUGGCAUCGAGCAGAGGUAUGUUGACAUAUAAUUUCUGAAUGACCUCUACAAACUUACCAAACUGCUCAUCCGACUGCAGUCCUCUGUUUCUUCUAGGAAAUGGCAAAUAGUUGGUGUCAUAAAAAUCUUUCCUCAUUUCUCCAGUUCUUGGUGGUUGUGGCAGAUCUUCUGCUCCAACUGGGCUUUCUUCUUCUAUCACUGCUGGUUGCACUGGUGCUGAUGUUCCUUGUUUCUCUUUUGGGUAUGGUGGAUCUCUGGUAGCUUUGCCUCCUCUAGUAGUUAUAUUCUUCACCUUUGCUAUUGGGUUGACUCGAAGUUGGUUGAUAUUUGUAUGCUGUCUCAAUGGCCCUUUGAUCUUCUUUAAACUUGGCCCUCUGGUCAAUCCAAUGGAGCAAAUUUUCCAUCUUAGUUGAUAAUGCAUUUACUUCUUCUAGUAUUUCUUCAGUUUGAUGACAAUGUUGAGCUUUAUCUUGGAACCAGCUUUGGUUUUCUGCUAUCUUAUCCAAAAGUAUCUCUGCUUUUCCAGUUGUAAGCUCCAAGAAUGAUCCUUUAGCAGAUGCAUCUAGGCACUCACGAGCCUUCUGGGUUAAUCCAUGGUAGAAGGUCUGCAUAAGUAACCAUGUGGCUAUUCCAUGUUGAGGACAAUCUGAUAUUUAUCCUUGAAAACGCUCCCAUGCUUCUGAAAUGGCUUCUGUCUUCUGCUGUUGGAAACUGAUAAUAUUUCCUCUUAAGGCAGUUGUUUUUCCUAUAGAGAAAAACUUUGAUAGAAAGGCAUCUGACAAGUUCGUCCAGUUGUUGAUGUUAUCUUGAUGAGUGUAGAACCACUUCCUCGCUUUUCCUUCUAGUGAGAAUGGAAAAAGACGAAGUAGUAUGACGUCUUUGUCAACUCCGUUGAUGUGGAUUGUGCUUCCAAUCUCUAAGAAAUUCUGCAAGUGUGCACUAGCAUCUUCAUGUGUCUUUCCACUGAAUUGUGUAGCUUGCACCAAAUUGAUGAGGCUUGACUUGAGCUCAAACUCGGGUAUUCCUUCUUCUACUGCAAAUCUUGGACUCGUUGGAAUGUUGUCAAGACUUGGAGCAGAGAAUUCUUGCAAGGUCUUUUGUGCCAUAGCUUCAGCAAUUGCUAGCUAGCUUCUUCUUCUCUUGAUUGCUUUGGUUCUGAUGACGAAGAGUUGAAUGUACCCAAAGUCAAUCCUGUUAUACCCUGUAUAAAAAUAUAAACAUAGAAAGACAACAGGGUGAACCUGCCAAAGCAGAGGUGCCUUGUUAUGAUUUCUCACUUAGUAGCUGUUUUUAUGCAAUUAUUUCUCUAUAGUGUAGUCUAAUAUUUUAUAUGAAUAACCUUGACUGAUUUUCUGGCUUUCCUAGGCAUUACCCUUUUGUUCCCUUUUAUGACUUAUUCCUGAGACUCGUAUAAAUUCCUAUAAGUUCCCCGGCAACGGCGCCAGAAAUGCUUGUUGACACUAGCUAACACCACUUAGAUACUAGGUUGUCAUCCCUAGCAUGGCGCCAGAGUGUACAAAGGUAUUUAUAAAUGUAAAGGCUCUCUAGAAAAUAAUCUAUUCUAUCCGCAAGCGCAUAGAUAAAACACCUCAUUGUAGCAUUUCACCAGGAUAAGUAUUCCAGGUAUCGUUAUUUAUAAUUUUGCUCAAGGGAUCUAAAGAAGAUGAAAUUAAAUCAAGGGGCAAAAUCUAUCAAGGCAUAGACUAGAGAUAAACUUGCAAGAACAUGAUUACUAAUGAGAAACUCGUCACACAGUCACAUACUUUAGCAGGGGGUAAACCAUAAAGAUAAUGAUAAUGAAUUAUAAGUUCAUGGGUAGAUAACACAGCGAUUAGAAAAUAGACUACUCCUCAUAUAUGUAGGUGAUGUCGGAUUAGCUAGAGAAUGGAUUCUAAGUUAUCUACUAACUGCUAAGUCAUAAUCUACUCUAGUUAUCUACAAGAUCAUAUAUAGCAUAAAAGACUCUUCAUUCAUGUAUAAGGAACAUUGAUAAAGUAAAUCAGAGCAUCGCAUGACUUACUCCACAAUACCGGUUCUGCCUGUCCUAUCAACGGAGGGUGGACUAUAUAAGAAUCAACGAAGCUGUCACUAUCGCGAACUACCACACGACCCGGCCAAUAGGAUACAUUUGCAGAUAAAUAACAUCUAAGCACCAUGCUCACAUGUGAUCUAUCACCUAACUCCCUCGUGUCAAGAGCUAAGCGCUUUGCAAACUUAUACAUAAACUCAUUAUCAAUUAGAACUAUAUCAAAUAUAGAACUAGAGCAAACUAAGAACAUAAUAAUUAGAGACAUAAUGCAAUUAGAACAAUAGAAUUAGAGAAAGAUAUGAAUAAUACCAAUCUUUAUUACCGAAGAUCCGAAUCCAGAGCGUAGUGCUCUAUUUCUCUAAUUGCUAUCUAAUCAACCUCUAAACUUGAAGGAUUUGGGUGUAGCUAAUUCUAAUUCUCUGUGGGAGAGAAGUUCUAAACCCUAAAGUGAAUAAUGAUUUAUUUGAAUAAUGAUUUCUCCUCUCUCCUCUAGGGGCCAGGGGGUCUGGUUUUAUAGUCCCCUCAAGUGAACGUGAGCCAUUGGAUCAAACCGACAUAGAUUGUAUGGUUUAGAUUGAUCCUUUAGGUCGGUGGAGCGUAGUCCCGAAGCAGAGUCCCGAUCCAACUCCAACCCUGGGCGGGCGCCCAAGGGGGGAGGGCGGCCGCCCUGCCCCCGAGCCCGAUCGUGCUCUCGUUCGUUCCCGUGGCUUCUGGACUCUUCUAGAUUGAGGAAAAUUGCGCGGCACGUAAUUAUCUCGUUGUAAACAUGACAUAUUCUCUGAUAACCCCCUGUAGAAAUAGAUAAACACCAAAACUCGUGGAAUUCUGUCAGAUAAAACCCUAAUUCUAGAUGUUUGUUUCAUAUUGAUCCUUUUUCAUGUUUAUUUGAAUAUUAAUUUUAGUACUUAAGGACCGUCAACACUGAGAUCUUGUGAAACAUGUAUGCCAUGCCUGAUAUACUUGGUUGCAUCUAUUUCUAUCUUAGUACGUUGAUUGUGUUAUGUUACUUAAGCAACAUGAAACACACAUGUAUGUGUAGAGUAACAUGAUACUUGUCUGCUUACUGUAUAUCAUGCAUUGUCUAUUGCACUUCUAUGUGUUCAUACACUUGCAUCUUGCAUCUCAUUUAGGUAUGCUAGAUGAACCACGUGAAGGACAUGAUGGUGGAUCUAUCGGAAUGAUGGAAGGACUACACAAGUGUUGCGAACUUGGAUGUCGUCAAGAUGAAGCAAGAUAACUUAACUGACUUGUGUCAGAUUCCAGGCAAGCCCCAGAGCAUUCUAAGUCUCCUACCCUCUCUUUUUAUAAAAGCACAAGAGUAUACCUUUAUAUGUUGCAUUAGGUGAUAGGAGUUGAAUGAAACCGUUGGUGCAUAUUUCCUACCUUGUCCACUAUAUGUAACUACCUGAACCCUUACUAGUAUAAGGAAGACGUUCUAUGCAUAGCUAUGCUUAGCUCGGUAGAAGCCAGGUGAUUUCCUGUCACCUGCGAGAGAUAGGUGGAUACCUGAUCACAGUUGGUUAUAUUUGCUAUCGUAGAAAUAACCAUGUGUAAUAAUGAAUGGAGACCGGGCGGGAUGACGAUGUGAAACAACAAGGCAUGGAGGUCUUGGGUGUGGAUCUAUCCCUGUCUAUGUCGUUUAAGGACCGAUACGCUGUACAUCCUCUCAUCAUGUUGCACGCAUGCCUAACACUUAGUUGGCCAGAUAAGUCGUUCCGACCGUGAAGGCUAUGAGUGCAAAUCCGGCCGGAUACCCCAUUCGGUUUAUGUGCGCACCUAAAAGCCCAAGUUUGGUUUUGGUAAUUAAUGACACCAAGUUGCUAACGCCUUGUAUUUAAGUGAUUUGAGUUAGGCAUAGCAACACAUGUGAUGAAGGUGCAUGGUGGCAUGGAAAGGUGGCCACAUGAUUACAAAGAGAUGAAGCAUGAAGUGGGGAUCAUGGUGAUAUACAAGGAGUAAAGUGAACAAGGCAAAGGUAUAAACAUAGGGUUUUGCUUUUGCCGGUCUAAGUUGAGUAGAGAAGUGUGUGACCGGGUUUAGGAUAGAUAGCCGACUAUCAAGAGGGGAAAUCACGGUCAUCUCUUGAAUCAAGUGCUACUAGGUCCAUAUCUUGAGCAUAUGCAUUAGGAUCUAGUAAAGUGCUAACUUAACUCCUUUGGUGAAAAUGUUUGUGAAAAGCUAACACACAUGCACUUUGGUGGUGGACUCUAGUUGGUGUUAGCACUCAUUGUCGGUGCUUUUUGAGAAAAUUAAGUGUAUAUUUUCUAUUGCGCCAGUGGAAAAUUUGGAGAAGUCACGGGGGAGAAACACUCACCGGACGCUGGCCUUGGAGGAACCGAACGCAGAGGCUGUGCGUCCGGUGUGCAGUAGUGCUUGGCUCUGCUAGGGUAAGGCAUCGGACGCUAGGCAUCAGACGCAGGAGAGAUCCUGUUGACACGUCCGGUGUGACUUGACUUCAGCUGGUGUGUUUGGUUGGUAGCACCGGACGCUUAGAGCGCGUCCGGUGAGGAGUGUCCGAUGCUCUGCACUUCUGCAAUGCUCUCUGGGUUUUAGACUAGUGAGCACCGGACGGUCCAGUGCUCAGCGUCCGGUGACCCUGCAAGUUUGCAGACUUCUCUGUGUUUAUGACCGGUGUGCACCAGAAGUGUCCGGUGCCAACUUAGUCGCGUCCGGUGGUCCGCAGGUGACCGUUAAAGUUUGAUGCGUGAGUUUCAAAGGAGGACACAUGGCCAACCCCUGAGCACCGGACGCUAGAGGUCGAGCGUCCGGUGAUCACUUGGUAGCGUCUGGUGCCCCCGUUUUCAGCCCAAUCAAUGUAGCCAACGGCUAUUUCCUUGAGGGGCUUAUAAAUAGGAGGUGGCCGGCUUUAGGAGGUCAACUCUUGCACAUUUGAAUACUUGAGGCAUACUUUGAGCUAGAGAACACUCCUUCCACUCAUCUCCUUGCUUGUUUGCUAAUCCUAUUGAGAUUGAGUGAGAUUCAAGUGCAUUGCUUUGAGAGUUGCAAUUAGUGGCACUUGAUUCUUGAGUUUGCUGCGGUUUUCUUGUUACUCUUGGGUGUUUCCCGAUGCCCUAGACGGCUUGGAGCAGCGGUGGUGUUGAGCUCAUGAUUGGAGAUUGUUUCGAGCCUCCCCAAGUGAUUUAUGAGGGGUUCUUGAGCCUUCCCCAUGGGAGAUCGCAAUUGGCUACUCUAGUGGAUUGCUCGUGGCUUGGAGGAUCCCCAUCUUGUGAGUGGAUGUGUGGCACCCGCUGAGGGUUUGGCUUUGGAUUGCCAAUUAGCUCGUGAUCCAUCAAGUGGGUGUAUCGCCACAACGAGGACUAGCUUGCCGAGAAGCAAAUGAACCUUGGUAAAAAUAUUGUGUCAUCUCUUGCCGAGGAUUCUCUUGUAAUUGUGAUUAAUUGAUUGGUUGUAUUUCUACUCUACAACGUUGGUAUAACAAUCACUCCCCUCUCCUUUCCUUAUGUGCAUACCUUGCUAGUUGUGUAGCUUGUUUAGCUUAGCUUUCUUGUUGUAACUAGUGUUUAGCUUUCUUUCUAGACUUGUCUAGGUGGCUUGCAUAGCUUAGUUGUGCUAGUGCUAGAAUAGCUUUGCCUUUUGUUUUACUAAUCAACUUUUCUAGUUGAAGUUUGUAGAAAAUUUAAAUAGGCUAUUCACCCACCCUCUAGCCAUUUGGACCUUUAUGCACCCCGGUUGGUAGCAAGGAUGUGCGGGGAGUCAAUGGCGUAAGACCGAGGUGUCAGGUUAGAGUCCUGACCGUGGCAGAUUGGCAGUCUGAAAGAGCAUCUAGGCCCCUAGUGAUUUUGGUGAUUAAUGACAAUGUUGAUUACUAUGACUAACGUGUGUUUUGCAGAGGCAAAGUCAUAGGUAUAGUCAUGGUAAUAGGUACUCAAUGGACAGGGACGUACAUGCCUACUUCAUAGUGGAAAUCGUUUCGGUUUUCAAAGGAUGGAUGGACAUCGUCAAGACUAGACUAGGUCUAAGUGCCAUAUGGUGAAGAAGGGCAAUUAGAGUAGUUUAGGACUUUGUUUUCCUUUGACCGUACUAUUAAGAGGGGUUUUGAUCUAGUAGCUUGACUUAGGCAAGGCUUUAGGUUUAGGUGUGGUGCACACUUGGUAAACCUAGCACUAGGCAGCUCAGAGAUAGUCCUUAGAUCGAGAGGAACCAACUUUGUUUUGGAGCGAUUGCGUUUCGAUGAAGUUAGGGUGCCCAAGGGGGCACCGGACGCUGCACUGGACGCUCUGUGAGUGCGUCCUGUGAGGUCCUUAGCCAUUGAGAGUUUGGGUGCCUUAGGGUUAGGCACCGGACGCUGGCACCGGACUCACCGGGCAGCGUCCGGUCCCACACCCAGGGAGGUUGCAAACUUCCCUUGAGCACCGGACGCACCGGGUAGCGUCCGGUCCCAUACUCAGGGAGUUUGUAAAACUCCCCGGAGCACCGGACGGUGCCACCAGACGCUAAGAGGUAGCGUCCGGUGACCUGUCAGACGCAGGUAUAGUUAGCCGGAGUGUGUGUUGACACUAGCUAACACCACUUAGAUACUAGGUUGUCAUCCCCAGCAUGGUGCCAGAGUGUACAAAGGUAUUUAUAAAUGUCAAGGCUCUCUAGAAAAUAAUCUAUUCUAUCAAUAAGCACACAGAUAAAACACCUCAUUGUAGCAUUUCAGCAGGAUAAGUAUUCCAGGUAUCGUUAUUUAUAAUUUUGCUUAAGAGAACAAAAGGGAUGAAAUUAAAAUAAGGACAAAAUCUAUCAAGGCAUAGACUAGAGAUAAACUUGUAAGAACAUGAUUACUAACGAGAAACUCGUCACACAGUCACUUACUUUGGCAGGGGGUAAACCAUAAAGAUAAUGAUAAUGAAUUAUAAGUUCAAGGGUAAAUAACACAGCGAUUAGAAAAUGGACUACUCCUCAUAUAUGUAGGUGAUGUCGGAUUAGCUAGAGAAUGGAUUCUAAGUUAUCUACUAUCUAUUAAGUCAUAAUCUACUCUAGUUAUCUACAAGAUAAUGUAUAGCAUAUAAGACUCUUCAUUCAUGUAUAAGGAACAUUGCUAAAGUAAAUCAGAACAUCACAAGACUUACUCCGCAAUACAAAUUCUACCUAUCCAAUCAACGGAGGGUGGACUAUAUAAGAAUCAACGAAGCUGUCACUAUCGCAAACUACCACACGACCCGACCAAUAGGAUACAUUUGCAGGUAAAUAACAUCUAAGCACCACGCCCACAUGUGAUCUACCACUUAACUCCCUCGCGUCAAGAGCUAAGCGCAUUGCAAACUUAUACAUAAACUCAUUAUCAAUCAUAACUAUAUCAAAUAUAGAACUAGAGCAAACUAAGAACAUAAUAAAUAGAGACAUAAUGCAAUUAGAACAAAGUAUUAGAGAAAGAUAUGAAUAAUACCAAUCUUUAUUACCGAAGAUCCGAAUCCAGAGCGUAGUGCUCUACUUCUCUAAUUGCUAUCUAAUCAAACCUCUAUACUUGAAGGAUUAGGGAGUAGCUAAUUCUAAUUCUCUGUGGGAGAGAAGCUCUAAACCCUAACUUUGAUGGCUACAUCUGAAUAAUGAUUUCUUCUCUUCUCUUCGCUCCCCCAGGAGUGGAGAGGCCUUGGUUAUAUAGUCCUUUCAAGUGAAUUUGGGCCGUUGGAUCAAACCGACAUUGAUUGUAUGGUUUAGAUUCAUCCUUGAGGUCGGUGGAGUUUAGUCCCGAAAGAGAGUCCUGAUUGGAUUCUAACCCUGGGCGGGCGCCCUGCUCCCAAGCCCGAUCAUCUUCUCGUUCGUUCCCGUGGCUUCUGGACUCUUCUAGAUUGAGGAAAAUUGCGCGGCACGUAAUUAUCUCGUUGUAAACAUGACAUGUGGGCCUUCUCUCCAUAUUCUCUGAUAACCCCCUGCAGAAAUAGAUAAACACCAAAGCUAGUGGAAUUCUGUCAGAUAAAACCCUAAUUCUAGAUGUUGAUUUCAUUUGGAUUCUAGAAAUAGAUAAACGCCAUUUGGAGUUCUGUGUUUGAAGAACCUUUGUGUCCGAGUUGGUACCUUGUAUGCCCCAGCAGACUUCGUAGUGGUAGAGACCGGAAAUGAUGAGAGAGCACCCAUCAUCUUAGGGAGGCCAUUCUUGAACACCACGGGAGCUAUCAUCUACGCUAGAGCUGCCAAGAUCAGUUUUUACGUCAAAGGGAGGAAGGAGACAUUUUUCUUUAAGAACAAGACUACACAAAUUCCAGAUCAAUCCAGACGUGAAUCAAGGAAGAGGACCAACAGGAGAAAUAGGAACAAGCAAGUGUGGACCAAGUCAGCUAAGAUGGUCACUGUAGUUCAUGGAGGUCAAGAUCAACAACUUAAAUCACCGUUUUUGACUAAGAAGGACGACCCAGGAAUGCCAAGCAUCUAUUGCUCCAUAAAUGGAUACAACUUCUACAAGACGACUUGUGACACCGGAUCGGGCGUCAACAUAAUGGCCGCAGUCACCUAUCGGCUCUUGUUCGGAACCAUGCCCCUAAAACCAACAUACAUUCAGCUCCAGAUGGCAGAUCAGACAUUUCGAGAAGUUAAAGGAACAGUAUCUGAUGUCCCAGUCAAAAUAGACGAUCAUUUUGUCUACACAGACUUUCAGGUUAUUGACAUGGGAGAAGACGAGUACGAUCCACCCAUCAUCCUUGGAAGACCGUUCCUCAGCACCGUUAAAGCAAUCAUCUACAUUGGAACCGGAGAAGUCCAUAUGCACUUCCCCUCAGAGAAGGUACGCCAUUAUUUUACUGACCCUAACUAUAUCGUUGAAGAAUCUAAGUAGGUCAGAAAGAGACGCAACCGCAACCAGAGGAGGCAAACCAUCAAGGACCGAUGGGCAGACUACGAAGGAGAAGUGAUAAGGUCAGAAGACGUAGAGUUUAAACAGAAUUAUCCUAAGGAGACCGAAGCACCGAGUCAGGUAUGGAAAGAGAAGAUAACUAUACAUGAAGAGGAGGCGCCGCCGGAAGUACCGACUCCGCCACCCAACGAAUCCCAGGACAAUUAAGAAAACGGAGAGUCCCAUUCGGAGGACUUAAAAACACCGAACGCCUUGCCAAGAGGUAAACUUGGUAGUUAUCCUUUCCCUUUCAAUUAUUUCAAAUAGUCUACUUAGUUAAUCAUGUUCAUGCUACCCUAAAGAGAAAAUAAAAAUGUGAAAAAUAGUAAGCCCCAUGUGAGUAUGCAAGUGGCAUAAAACCCAUAAGUACAUUCACUGUGGUGGCAUAAAAAUAAAAUAAAUAUUUUCUGCUUUAUAAAAUGAAAAUAUAAAAAUAGGGAGUAAUAAUUGUUAAGGAGUCUCAACAUGAUAAAGGCUAGAUAUUUAUGCUAACAUUUAAUCAGUUCCACGAGCUUUGUUGUCUAUUUGAGCUCCACAGAAUUUAAGAAUCAAGAAGACUAGCAGACGGAGGACAUUCUAAUCGUUGUCAGAAUGCUGCUGACUUUCAAAUACACCUCUGCCACCUGCUAGCUACAUCAAGAGAAAUUACGUCAAAAUUCAGCUUGGGGGAGAGCACCCCCAUUUAUCUCGAUAAGUAUUUCUAUCUAUCUAUCUUUAUAUUUCUACUAUAUUAAAAUAUAAUUAUGGAAAACCAAAUAAAGAUUUUAUGCUUAUAUAUAUACCUUUUGCUUAGUGUGUUUAAUAAAUAAAUAAAGUGGCUAUGCUAAUCUGUAUCUAAAUAAAACUCUAGCAUGGAUAUGAUGAAUAGUUGCUCUGCCUAAUUUGUACAUUUUAAGUUCUCUCUCAAGUUUAGAUAUAACUGUUAUAAUUUAAAGCUUGCUCUAGACCUAAACUUGUGGGAUGAAAACUUGAUCUAAAGUCUAAGUUGUUAACGGAUACGAUAUGGGAAGGCUAAGCUGUUGUUUAUCUGUUUCCAGAGAUGCUGGAAAUCUGGAGAAUUUUAUCUUUGAAAAUCUUUAAAAUGUUGCAUGAUGAGUUCCUGUAUGAUGAGAGUUUUAAAUUCCUACCACAGCCAUAUAUACAUGCUUGCUAGAUUUUGAGCCACACAUUUACUAUUUAUUGCUUAUGAGCAUUGAGUGUGGUCAAGCUGUGUAGACCCUUAGGAUCUUGUCAUGUGGUUAAAUCAAGAUUUCACUUGCACGUUCACUCAUAUAUGCUACUUCUACUCCGAAAGUACCAUCCACAUAUAUCCAUCCAUUUCCAUCUCCAGAAUCACCCAAAAAUAUUCUACUGCUAAUCCGGGAGAGAAUAACCAAAAAUAUUUGUCGAGGGUAUCAGUAAGGGGUACCCUAACUGACGCACAUAACGAGAUUACCCGUGCACAGAUCGAGGCCCUCAACUCGACGUACUAAUAAGCCGUGCAGUCAUCGACGGCCGCAGCCUCGAAGACGGAAAAGACGUCGAGCGAACCACUCAAGGGUCGAGCGCUAACUAUCGUCGAAUACGAAAAUGGGCUCGAGCGAAUCGGGAGGCAUUGAGCGCAAGGACACUGUCCGCCGCCUGACGCGCGCACGAGAGCCAGGGCAUUUAAUGCGCCUGUCGCUUUCCCACCUAACACGCUGUUCACGGGAAGCGUGAUAGGGAAUAGGCACCCGUCCCAUCAUUCUUUUUGCAGCUUUCCCCACCAAACGGCUCAGAGCGUACCAGGACGCGGGAAGCAGGGAUGGGAGCGUCUAAUCGGGACCUCCUCGAGGCACCCAAGGUCAACGCUUUGGACAACAAGGCACUGCACGGCGUCUGACCCUCGACCAGGCAAGAUUCCUUCCUGGGGAAGAGUUGGGCGUCGACUGACAACACCGCAGCCACUCCGCCGGAUCUGCCGCUAUACCGUACAGGCGUGCGACCGAUGAACCAGGCCGAGACGGCGCGCAGAGCAGGAUACGAGGGCACGCGUAAUCAUCAUCAAGCUACCAAGACGGGACGGCUCGAGACCACGCCGGUACGGAGGCCUCGAGUAGGUCAGCGCGCCAUGCCUCUAUCGACCCCUACUCUGACACCUAUACGUGUACCCUAGGUCUCUCCUUGGAGCUAUAAAAGGGGAGACCCGAGAAUAGACACACAUCACCACACAACGCUACACCCGCACGUAGUAGAGACUCCACACUCCAUUCUACCCGAGCUUGUAUUCACCCCUGUACAAGCACUUAGGUGCAAAAUAAUACAAACUCUCCCCCCCGCUGGACGUAGGGCCUUCUCUUGCCCGAACCAGGAUAAAUCUUUGUGUGUCUUUUUGCGUCACCAUCUCGGAAAGGGAGCACGCAUACAAAUUUACUCGUUGUUGUGACCCCCCGUGGGGAAAACACCGACAGUUGGCGCGCCAGGUAGGGGUCCUGCGUGUUUUUUCAUCGAUUUCCCACUCCUUUCCAGAUGGCCACUCUCGCCUCGCCGAUUCCGCGCCCCACGGUGAUUUGGUUUGGGAGCCUUGAGUUCGUGUUGACUGGCUCCGGCUACGACAUGAUCUUGCUCUCGAUCAAAGGACCGGGAGGAGCCCGCGUUACACCAGCGCAAACAAGGGCCCCGAGACGCCCUCGACAUCAUGCCUCCCUGCCAAAGAAGAGGCAUGGGCAGCACCACCGUCACCCCUCUGCCUCGUCACGACCGGCAGUUCGUGCAAGGCAGGAGGUGGCACAGGAGCCGGCCGCGCCGCGUACCGGAACCGUGGGCAUGCCGGCCCAACAUCAUACGACGGCAAGAGGUGACGCGCCCCGAGCGCUCUCCUUCACCACUAGGUUGCUUCCACAUGGGUUGUUCACCCCAAGAAGGGCAUUGCCAUUCAGGUUGGACAACGCCGCGACGUCGCUCGCUAGGGCGAUAUGCCCAAAUGCCCAAACGUACGUGGAAAGACCAAUGGUCCUCCCACGUGACUCUGAAGCACGCCCGCCGACGUCCGAGUUGCCAGACCUCUCCCGGGUACGAGGCCUCCGCCGCCUAGGCCCUGGACGAUACACGAUCACCUCGCUCAGGGAGCGGCUGCUGGAGGAAAGACGUGGAUGUUACUACGCCGCCGAGCCAGACUCCGACUCCGAGCGCGAUAGCUACGACCCUACAAGGGAAUGCUAUCACAUCGACAGGGCGGUAGAAACUACCGACGAGACACAGGAUGCGGCUGCCGGCGGUCGAGCCCCUGCGGCAAGAGAAGAUCCCAGGACACCUGGGAACGAUGGACAGGUCGACCUGCUUCCACAGGAAGACAAGGCCGCGCAACUCGUGCAGUUACGAGAGCUCAAGACCAAGCUUGACGAAGAUCGUGAGUGCCUAGUCCUGCUUGAGCAAAUCCUCGAGCAAGACUUGGCAUACCUGCCCGGCGGAAGUGUCCGCAGACGCGCUCGAGAGGUACACCGACAAAUCGUCAGAGACGCAGAGCCAGAGCAGCCUGUCAGCCGCUUCCCUCGAGCAGGCCAGAAUGUAGUGGCAGCGACAAUGCUGCUGCGCAACAUGCCAGAGCCAUCGAACUCCCAAGCCCGACGUAUUCGAGAUGAGGUAUAGACUCUGCUCCAGGUGGUGGCAGUUCAACAAGCCGAAAGCUCGGCUUCUCGACGACGAGGAGCUGCCACUGAAAAGCGCGAUGAGCCACCCCAAAACGAAAAGGAGGUAUCAGUCCAUCAACUGCCACCCCCACGAGGAAGAAAGACCACGCUCAUUCUCCCCGUCAACAAUCAGCGUCGACACGACGCACGGCAUGACAUCGAAGAGAAUCGACGCCGCCGGCAUGGGGACGCGGAAGAGCGCGGUUCCAGCGCACAUCGUGGCGGGAGGUACGACUGCGAUGAGAACCGAAUGGCCCCCGAGCCACCAGGCCCACGGGUGUUCAGCAGGGCAAUCCGCAGCACACCACUGCCCAGUCCGUUCCGACCCCCAACCAGCAUCGCGAAAUACAACAGUGAAACCAAACCAGAACUGUGGCUGGCAGACUUCAGGCUGGCUUGUCAGCUGGGAGGUGCUCGAGGAGACGAUCGAGCCAUCAUCAGACAACUACUGCUUUUUCUCUCUGAUACCGCCUGACCGUGGCUCGAGGAACUUCCAGCUAAUCAGAUCCAGGACUGGGUCGAUUUGGUUAGAGUCUUCGAGGGUAAUUUCAAAGGGACCUACAUACGGCCCGGGAACUCGUGGGACCUCAGCAAGUGCAAACAGAAGUCAGGAGAAACUCUUCGAGAGUAUGCUCGACGCUUCUCGAAGCAGCACACCGAGCUGCCACGUAUCCCUGACCACGACGUCAUCCUGGCAUUUGUCUCUGGUACCACCAGUCGAGACCUGGUACGGGAAUUGGGCCGGAAUCGCCCUCAAACCGUCGAUGAGCUGAUGGACGUAGUGGCAAACUACGCAGCAGGGGAGGAAGCAGUCGGCGCCUUCUUCAGUUGUGAAGGAAGGAAAGGCAAGCAGCCCUCCAUUGAAGAUGGGACCCCCAGUCGAGGGCCCAAGAAAAACAAGAAGAAGCAGAAAGCGCGGCAGUUCAAGCAGAAAAACUUCGACGACGAUCUCGUCGCCGACAUGGAGCGGAAGAGGCCUCGAGGCCCUCCAGAUGGAGGCAUUUACGACAAGAUGCUAGAAGAACCAUGCCCUUACCAUAAGGGAGGCGCCAACCACAUGCACAAGGACUGUCGUAUGCUGAAAAAGCAUUUCGACGGUCUGGGGUUCAAAAAGGAUGCGCGUGACGACCCAAAGAAGGAGAAGGGCGGCAACGUGGAGGACAACAAAGAUGACGACGGCUUCCCAGCCGUCCACGACUGCUACAUGAUCUAUGGAGGGCCCUCGACGCAGUUGACCACAAGGCAGCGCAAAAGGGAACGACGUGAGGUCUUCGCGGCGAGAAUGGCGGUGCCCCAGUACCUCAGCUGGACGAGCACUCCCAUCACUUUCGAUCGAGAGGACCACCCGGACAAGGUAGUCGCCCCAGGCGUCUACCCGCUCGUCGUCGACCCCAUCAUCGUCAACACCCGGCUUUCAAAGGUGCUGAUGGACGGCGACAGCAGCCUCAACAUCAUCUACCUCGAGACCCUCGACCUCCUCGGCAUCGACAGGGGACGGCUCCAACCAAGCGCCGGCGGUUUCCAUGGCGUCGUGCCAGGGAAAAAGGCGCUACCAGUGGGUUGAAUCGACCUACCGGUCUGCUUUGGCACGGCGGCCAUCUUCAGGAAGGAGACCCUCACCUUUGAGGUGGUCGGACUCCGGGGCACGUACCACGCCAUCAUCGGUCGCCCGGGCUACGCCAAGUUCAUGGCUAUACCCAACUACACCUAUUUGAAGCGGAAGAUGCCCGGUCUCAAAGGCGUCAUCACCGUCAGCUCCUCCUUCAAACUCGCUUACGAAUGCAACGUCGAGUGUAACACCCCAGGUGUUUGCCACGAGUUAGACUUUAGGUUUUGAGCUCAAACAUGUCAUGAUGAGUGGUGAUGAUCAUGUUAAGGUUAAUCCAUGAAAGUGAGCCUGAAGUUAAACUUAGAGAAUGCACCCUUGCUUACAUAUAGAACCUUUUCAAAGUGCAUGCUUAGGUGAUGUUUAUGAAAUCUCUUUCAUGUGUCCGACAUCCAUCACGACCUAUAGUGAUCACUCAAAAAGUUUCAUGGAGUUUGGAAUCAAAAGGUCACAUGAAAUGUUAAGUUACAUGCUUGUUGGAAUGACCUCAUUAAGUGAAUAAAACCAUAGACCAUCAACCAUUCUUUGCAACCUUGCCCAAAUGACUCUAGAUGAACUCUACAACAAAAGUCAUGAAGGGUCCACGUUGAGCUUGUGCCCAGAAAGUGCUUCAAUUGGCCUAAAACCUUAAUUCAAGCUUUAUCAAGUUGCUGCUUUGACCAAAGUGAAAGUUUGACUUCUGUACUAGUUCUGAGGUUUGACCUUACAUCAAAGUUGUAGUUUAGAUUCUGUAGAACAAACUUUGUUUAAUGUUCAAGAGCUAGUUUGGUCUCUAACCUAGUCAAAUUGAGCUGACAAUAUUCAAUGCAGUGCUGUUUUGGAACUCUAGAAAUUGGCUAAGUCAUCAAGGUGCUCAGUUUCGGGUACCCUAGUUGGGAUCCCUGUAUCUUACUAACCAGGCCAACACAGUAUAAGAUCCUUUAAGCAAAGUUGUAGUACAGUUUGUAUACUACAAUCUUUGUUAAAGUUUCCAAGACUGAAUCUUCAUCUAAGCCUGUCAAAUAUGAGUCACAAAAUUGAAUCUGCUAUAGUUUCCAGCACUUAGAGUUUUUAAGUCUAGGUUUGGAGUUCAUCACGUUGGCAUUCCGCGUUCUCCAAAUUUUACUAAACAACUUGCUUGUGUUACAAAAUAAAAGUUGGAGCACAUAUUGUGGGCUACAGCAUGCCAAAAGAUGACACCAGUUUGACUUCGUUUUGGUCAUCAAUUUUGAGUUUCGCUAAUCACUAUCAAUUCGUUGAUACUCAUAGAUUGGCAUCAAAUUAUCUAUUAAUAUGUAAUCCUAAUGACCAUGACACUUAAACGAAAAAUGUAGAGCAGCACGAGUUUGACAAACUUCAUUUUUGGCCCAUGUCCAAAUUCGGCCCGUAGGUAGCCCAUAUUUGGAUCCCACGUUGACCACUCUGUUGCCUGCCACCUGUUCGGCAGAAUGCCUCAAAGGCCAGCACGUGUUCUGGACGUGGCAUCCAUGCCCGGAUGCGCCCCCUCCUCCUCUGCUACUCGCCCAGGCGCCCCCCACGCCCGGUUGUCGAAGUGGAGAAGCACCCCAGCGCCUUCCUCAUCCAUUUCCACCCCCUGCUCGCUCUCUCCCUCGCCCUAUGGCCACUCCGGAGCAGGGCCACCAUGGCCGGCCGCCAUGCCUCAGGGGUGAGCGUGGCCAAGCCACCACGAGUCUCCUCAGGCCGAGCUGAGUGGUCUUAUGGAUGCGGGGAAGUCUCCUGGUGCUCCCCCACCCCUCCCUCACCGCCGGCGUGGCCAUCUUUGGCCAGAAAGCGCAAAGCCGGCGAUCCUCCUCCCUUCUCUGUUCGAGCAGAGAAAGGAAAAGGGCCUCGUGUUGGAAUAAGAAACAAUGCAGGGUUCCAGAUGCGAAGCUUGUGGUCUGUUGCGUGAUUCGUGGAAAGUCCAGGGUCCCCGGUGAAAGAUCUGUUUUCCUUUUCCUUUGUUUUUGCAGAUUUCUGGGUGAACUUUGGAAAUCCAAAGUAAUGCAUCGAAAAGUCGUAAAAUAGCAAAUGUGGACUUUUUGGAAUCCUUGUGAAAUUCUCUAUGCAGUAGAUCUAUAAUAUGGCAUGGUUUAGUUUGCAGUUUUAGCAGUAAAAAUAGAUUUAUGCAGUUCGGUUUUAAUUGCUUGUUAUAUUUGUCUUUUUCAUAACCACUGUACUAUUGCUCAAAUAAAUGUGAAAAUAUUGUGGCAUGCUUUACAUGUACUAUUUGAUGUCUGGUAAAAGUUGCAUGAAUUUAGGCAUAACAUAUUAAGAGUUAUAAAAAUAACAAAUGCUCUGUGUUGCCUUGCUCCUAUUCUGAGUAUGUCUGCAUGUUUAUAUUGUUUGGUUCAUUUAGGUUGUGAAUCUUUCCUGGAUGAAAAUAUAUGAGUUGUAGUAAUUUUCAUAAGCUUUCCAUCAAGCUAAAUAGCAUAAUUUUUGGUCAAGCAUAUGUUUAGUUAUAGUAGUUUAAAUUACUAUUUCAGUUUCUGUCUAAACCUAGACAGCAAUGCAUUGGUGUUAUGUAAGACCUUGUUAGUUGUAGAUUUUGCUCUAGAUGUUUAUAACAAAGUUGUUCACAAUUUAGUAAGCUUUCUAGAAAGCAUAUAACCAUAAUUUAUGGGCAUAUGAAACUCAAGUUAUGGCUGUUUAAUGUGACAUGAUAGAUUCUGUCCAUGUUUUGGACAGAGAUGUCUUUAUGGAUAUUGAUAAAUGGUUUAUAAUUAUAAAUAACAAUGUAGAAAUGGAAAAUGUUGUUCCAAUACAAUCCUAUGAUAUUAUUGUAUCAUGUUUAUGUAUGAUAUGACCAUGUGUUUGAAGAAAAUAUGAUUUGUGCAUUGAUCUUGCUCUCACAUGGUUAAUUGCAAUAGCAAUUUGUCUUUUUCAUAGAUGAUGCUAUGCUUAUUCAAAUACUGUGAAAUUUAUACAGCAGUCUAUUCAUGGUAUUUAGAGGCUACUAUAAUGUUUGUAGAAUUUACUGUGCAUGUUUGAUAUAUGUUCUUUAAUACACCUUAUUAUCCAAAUAAAUUAAGAAAUGCAUUAAAUAAAUUUAUUUGGAAAUGACCACUAUGUUUUCUGGUGUUCUUUAGAUAUAUACAAACUGUUGGUAACAAUGGUUUUGCUCAAAUGCAUGUUUGAAAUAUAAGUUAAUAAUUAAUUGUUUGCAAUUGUUAUUUCUGGACAGUUUCGGUAACUGUUUGGAUUACAAUGUGUAAAUGAUGUUUUCUGGGAAUCUUGUUUAUAGUAAAGUUGUAGAUAAUUAAUUUAUCUAGCUGCUGUCAAAAUUUGGUGGCAUUUGGUUAUGUGGUUUGUAUGUUAUGGCUGUUCAAAAUUGAGUUUCAGAAAUGGUUGCUCUCUGUCUUGUUAGGACCUGAUUCUGUAAUUCUAAUAUUUCGACCUGCCAAACUUAUGAAUCAUGCUUUGAUAUAUAAAUAUGAAAUGUAGAUAAUUUCCUAAGCUUUCCAGAAUGUCUUCUUUCAUGUCUUUUGGAAUUGUGUAACUCCAGUAAUGAUUUAUUUUCUCAGCUACUGUUAACAGUCCUAAAAAUAACAGAUUCCUUGUAUUGCUGUUGCUUGGUAUAUUGCUAGGUGUGACUCAUGUCUUUGAUAAUGGCCAUGUUAUUACACCUGAAAUCUUGUGAAACAUGUAUGCCAUGCCUGAUAUACUUGGUUGCAUUCUUUUCUAUUUUAGUAUGUAGGUUUGUGUGAUGUUUAAGUAAUCAAUGAGAAGUGCUUAUGUAUGUUUAGUGUAACCAUGCUCUUCACAUACUUCUUGUGUGUGAUGCUUUGUCUAUUGCACUUCUAUGUGUUCAUACACUUGCAUCUUGCAUCUCAUUUAGGUACGCUAGAUGAACUACGUGAAGGACUUUAUGAUGGACCUAACCGGAUGAUGGAAGGACUACACAAGUGUUGUCACCUUAGAUGUCGUCAAGACGGUGUAAGCUGACAUAACUGACUUGUGUCGGAUUCCAGGCAAGCCCCGGAGCAUUUUAAGUCUCCUACCCUCUCUUUUUAUAAAAGCACAAGAGUAUAACUUUAUAUGAUGCAUUAGGUGAUAGGAGUUGAAUGAAACCGUUGGUGCAUAUAGUCCUACCUUGUCCACUAUAUGAAACUACCUGAACCCUUAACGUUCUAUGCUUAGCUAUGCUUAGCUCGGUAGAAGCCGGGUGAUUUCCUGUCACCUGCGAGAGAUAGGUGGAUACCUGAUCACGGUUGGCUAUAUUUGCUAUCGUGGAAAUAACCAUGUGCUAAUAAUGAAUUUGAGACCGGGCAGGAUGACGAUAGUGAAGCAACAAGGCAUGGAGGUCUUGGGUGUGAAUCUAUUCCCGUCUGUGUCGUUUAAGGACCGAUACGCUGUACGUCCUCGUGUCAUGUUGAACGCAUGCCUACCACUUAGCUGGCCGGAUAAGUCGUUCCGACCGUGAAGCCUACGAGUGCAACUCCGGGCGGAUACCCCGAUCUGGUUAAAGUGCGCACCCCGGUUGGUAGUAAGGAUGUGCGGGGAGUCAAUGGCGUAAGACCGAGGAGUCCGGUUAGAGUCCUGACCCUGGCAGAUUGGCGGUCCCUGGGGGUGCGGCGCCGUACGGACCCGCGAAUUGGUCCGGAGUUGUGCUAAAGGUGAUCCAACCUACUCUAGCUAAGUACGCCUGGGUGAGUGCUAGGAAUACCCCUCCAGCUGGAUAGGAAUCGAUUCGAAUCGCCGUCUCUCCCGGAUAGUGAGAACUUGACUCGAGCAGCGGCAACGUAGAUACACUAAAUGAAACUUAAUGGUUAUGAUGAUGAUGAUGGCUACAUGAUAAACCUGAUAUGGUUAUUAAUGUGAUGCUUAAUAAUCAAGUGGUUGCUAUAGAAUAGUAUUGGGUAUUUUAAACGCAAACAGAAAAAUCCGCAAGCGCACAGAUACCGAUGUAGCUUUCAACCGGGAGUAUUCCAGAGUAUCGAUUUUUCACAGAGAACGUGAGUGUACUAAUUAAGAUCCAAGAUCGCCCAAGGAUAACUAUAUAAUUAUUUUUUGGUGGGAAGAGAGGAAGUUUCCUGUGAGUUCUCUAGUUGAUCUAAGAAUCAAGAAUUACUUCAAGAUUAUCUAUAUCAGGACAUCAGAGCACUAACCACAGAAAGAGAUUAGAAGGGGGCUAGGAAGGUCUGACUACGGUCCUACAAACACCGAUCCGAACGUGGUGGAAUACGUCGACCGUUAGGGCUGUCACUACCCUAAGGCUACCACAACAAUCCGCAGGACUGGGUGCAAUUCCAGGUAAUUGCAAGACUAAACACCACGUCUAAUCUAUUAAUUACUACUCUAGCGUUAUAAAGACUAGAGCACUUGAUGCAAGCGGGAAUCCAAUAAAUAACUAGAAUGUAAAUAAAAGUAAUUAGAGAACUCAGGAAUUAUGAAUUGAUGAACCUGGAGAACGAUGAAGAACGAACCAGUUGCUGCAAAAGUACAAUGUUGAGGAAGAUCCGACAGAUCCGGCUCCUCCUCCUCCGCUCUCCUCUUCUCUCUCCCUAUUUUCUAGAUUACAACUAGAACUAACUAGAACUAGAACUAGAGGAACUAGAACUAGAACUAGAUGAACUAGAACUAGAUCUAGAUGAACUAGAGGUAGAACUAGAAGAACUAGAGGGAUCCUCUCUACUUGGAUGAAGAAUUGAAACCCUAGCUUUGAUUCUGUAGAAGAGGUAUGCCUCCAGGGGCUGGUGGGGGUCUGCUUAUAUAGUCCAGGAAGAGUAGCCCCCAAGAAAUCUAGGAAGAGUAGCUCCCAAGAAAUCUAGGAAGAGUAGCUCCCAAGGAAUUUCCACGUUAUUCUCCACCAUCCGAUCAAACCGACCUUAAUCGUGUGAUUUUCCUUGAUCCUUAGAGUCGGUGGAGCACGAUCCGCGAAGUUGACCCUGAUUGGGCACUGUAGCAGGGCGGGCGCCCAGGUCAACUAGGCGGGCGCCCAGUGCCUGGCCCCGUUCGGUCUCCGCUUCCUUCCCGUGGCUUCUGGAGUCUUCUAGAUGGUAGAAAAUUGUGCGGCACAUUAAUAUCUCUAUGUAAACCCGACGUGUGGGCCUUUCCUCCGUAUUUCCUGAUAACCCCCUGUAGAAAUAGACAAACACCAAAACUCUUGGAAUUCUAUCAGAUAAAACCCUAAGUCUAGGUGUUGGUUGCAUUUGGAUCCUUUUCUAUGAUUAGUUGAUCGUUAAAUGUGAGCAUUAAGGACCAUCAACAAGCUCCCCCAAGCUUAACCUCUGCUCGUCCCUGAGCAAAGAUGGACUCAAGAGUUUCUGCAGUGGUUUUAUGCCUUAAAGAUACAAAUGCGUUCAAACAAGAUAUCAUCUCUGGGUUAGAGUAAACUGUUAAGACUUAAAACUUACUCAUAUUACCUUUCACCAUGGGGUUUGUAACCGUCACUUCUGUCUUGAGUAGUUAAAAGAUAGAACGGUCUAAUCAAGCGCUAUGUCUCUUGUUCUUCGAUUAACUAUAGCUCUAGAGUUUUUGCAGAUUUUCAAAUAAAACUCAGAGAUUCCUUGUAUGACUCUCUCUAGUCUCUCUUUUGUGGUAUUUCUGGAUCCUUACCAAGGCAGUGAUGGUAUAUGCCUUCUCUCAAAGUAUGUGGUAUUUGUAGUAUGAAGCAUAGUGGCAUUGCCUUCUCUCUCACCCUACUCUAAUAAGGUUUUGAUAUCUGGAGCUCAUAGGUGGGAGACAACUAAUACAUACUUACAAGACAUUUAUUGCAUAGUCAAACCAUGGAUCCAGAAGAACAAGUCAAUAAGACAAAUCAAGAUGUGCAUGUGUGGCGAAUGAAUAGUGUAUGGUGAUGAUGGUGAUAACAAUGGUGAAAGUCUAAUUCUACUUGUGCUCUUUCGAGGGGAUACAUACCUUUCUUGCUCUUUUGAAACUUUUUGAGGAGAAUGAGUUGCUCUAUAUUUUCUUUUUCUUUUCUCUCAGGUGGGUAUUUUGUACCCCUAAUUCUACUGUCGGACACUUGUCCAUUUUUACCUCUCGUCUCACUUUUUCUUUUCUUUCGAGGUUCCGGGCACUUGCCCAUUUUUAUUUCCUCGUAUCUCUUUUUUUUUCUUUCUUUUUUUAGAGCACUCAUCUCCUGAAAUAAUAUAGCAAGUGGUAGUAACCAAGAUAACUUGAGCAUUUAUUUCACAGGGGAAAACAGAAAUAGGAGAAUGUUUUUAGCUAUUCUCUCCCAGAUUAGGAGUAGAAUAUUUUUAGGUGAUUCUGGAGAUGGAAAUGGAUGGAUAUAUGUGGAUGCGUACUUCCGGAGUAGAAGUAGCAUGUAUGAGUGAACGUGCAAGUGAAUCUUGAUUUAACCACAUGACAAGCUCCUAAGGGUCUACACAGCUUGACCACACUCAAAGCUCAUAAGCAGUAAAAAGUAAAUGUGUGGCUCAAAGUCUAGCAAGCAUGUAUAUAUGGCUGUGGUAGGAAUUUAAACUCUCAUCAUACAGGAACUCAUCAUGCAAAAUUUUAAAGAUUUUCAAAGAUAAAAUUCUCUAGAAUUCUAGCAUCUCUAGAAACAGAUAAACAGCAGCUCAACCUUCCCAUAUCGUAUCCGUUAACGACUUAGACUUUAGAUCAAGUACUCUCCCCACAAGUUCAGGUUUAGAGCAAAUCUUAAUUAAUACUAGUCAUGCCUAAACUUGAGAGAGAUUUCAAUUUUGAGAACUAGUCAUGGCAGAGCAACUAUUCAUCAUUUCCAUGUGAGAGCUUAUCAUGAGGGUUCAUAGCAAAAUUUAUUUAUUUAUUUAUUUGGCAAACUAAGCAAAGAUAUAUAUAAGCACAAAAUCUUUAUUUGGGUUUUUAUGAUUAUGCAUCUUUUUAUUAUUUGAGUAAAGUAUAAACGUGAGUAGAAUACUUAGCUGGAUAAAUCGGGGUGCUCUCCCCUAGGCUGGAUUUUGACACAAUUUCUUCUAAUGUAGCUAGCAGCCGGCGGAGGUGUAUUUGAAUGUCGGCAGCACUCUGUCAGCGAUUAGGAUGUCCUCCGUCUGCUAGUCUUCUUUGAUCCUUGAAUUCUGUGGAGCUCAAAUAGACAACAAAGCUUUAUGGAACUGGUUAAGUGUUAGCAUAAAUAUCUAGCCUUUAUCAUGUUGAGCCUCCUCAAUAAAUAUUACUCUCUUUAGUAGGAUCAUAAAUUUAUUUUUAUAAUUUUAUUUUUUAUAGGACAGGAAUAUAUUUAUUUCAUUUUUAUGCCACCACAGUGAAUGUACUUAUGGGUUUUAUGCCAUGAGCAUACUCACAUGGGGCUUACUAUUUUAAACAUUUUUAUUUUCUUUUCAAGAUGAUAUGAACGUGAUUAACUAAGCAAACUAUUUUAAAAUAAUUGAAAGGAAAAGGAUAACUACCAAGUUUACCUCUUGGCAAGGCGUUCGGUGUUUUUAAGUCCUCCGAACGGGACUCUCCGUUUUCUCAUUCGUCCUGGGAUUCGCUGGAUGGCGUAGUCGGUGGUUCCGGUGGAGCCUGCUCUUCAUGUAUAACUAUCUUUUUUCUCCACACCAGACUCAAUGCUACAGUCUCCUCAGGACAGUUCUGUUCAAGUUAUAUGUCUUCAGACCUUACAACUUCUCCAUCAUAGUCUACCCAUCUGUCCUUGAUGAUUUUGCCUUCUCUGGUUGCGGUUGCGCCGUCUCCUUCUUGUCCCGACCUGCUUAGAGUCUUCAACUAUAUAGUUAGGGUCAGUAAAAUAGUGGCGUACCUUCUCAGAGGUGAAGUGCAUGUAGACUUCUCGGGUUCCAAUGUAGAUGAUUGCUUUAACGGUGCUGAGGAACGGUCUCCUAAGGAUGAUGGAGGAUCAUACUUGUCUUCUCCCAUGUCAAUAACCUUUCGGAAUGUCUGAUCUGCCGUCUGGAGCUGAAUGUAUAUCGGUUUUAGAGGCAUGGUUCCAUACAGGAGCUGAUAAGUGACUGCGGCCAUUAUGUUGACGUCAGAUCCGGUGUCAUAGAGUGUCUUCUGAAAAGAAUAUCUGUUGAUUGUGCACUUGAUGCUUGGAACACCAGGGUCAUCCUUCUUGAUCAAGAAAGGCGACUUGAGUUGACGAUCAUGACCUUCUUGAGCUGCAGUGACCAUCUUAGCUGACUCAGUCCACAUUUGCUUGUUUCUGUUCCUCCUGUUGGUCCUCUUCCUUGGUUCAUGUCGGGAUUGCUCUGAGAUUUGUGUAGUCUUGUUCUUGAAGGAAAACGUCUCCUUCCUCCCCUUGAUGUAGAAAUGGAUUUUAGCAGCACUAGCGUAGAUGACAGCUCCCGAGGUGUUCAGGAAUGGCCUCCCCUGGGCAUAAUAUUGACGCUGGAACCGAAGUGGUAGAGUGCUUCUGCGAAGUCCACCAUGCCGAUGGAGAUCGGGAUGACGGGGCGUCCUGGAUCGCGUCUCUUGACUGAGUGUCCAGUAUCUCCAGUGUGUUUGUGCUCGUAGAUCUAGGUUCUUCACUUGGUGGAGUCUGGAAGUUGUAAAAGUCCUUCAUAUUUUGCUCGAAGUGUACCUGCUCAUAGAGACAAGGCAGAGAUCAAGUGCAUGGGUCCUGUUGGUGGAAAACACCAAUAGAACCGAAAGUGUAUUUGUUCUCUCUAACCUUAAGCAUAGUGAGCAAGACAAAGUUGAUGGAUAAUAAGAUCAUGAGUGUAGCAUUUAAAGCAUUUGUCAUAUCUGACCGCUCAACCUAAUGGAAAGAUAAUCUAUCUAUAUAAAUGUUUUUUUCUUUACAUGACUAUCAUUUUCCAAAGAUUGAGUGUGCAACAUUUUAGUUCAUAUGAUUAGGAGUGUGGGAUCACAAAGGUGGAAGGACUAAACAUAUUGAAUUGACUGGGUUGGUUAAUCAAGAGUUGUAAAUCAUACAUGUUUGUCUCUUUUAUUUAUGUGAACGCCAGAACCAAUGAGAAGCUUAUAAAAGUGAUAGUCAAGUACCUUAAGAUGUUACCUUACUUGAAGAGUGAUGGUACAGUAUCACCUUGUGGAAGCUUUCCUUUCUUAGCGGUUGUGCAUCGUGUUUGUGGCAUCCUCCAUGGAUCAUCUCUUGUGAUCUAUGCCUUCCUUGUGUAAAUUGUUAAACUUCAUGUGUCUCUCUCUGUCUCCAAUGUUGGUGUAUCUCAGGACUUCCCAGGUCAAUAUUAAAAGUUCUCCUGCAGGGGUUAGUCCAACAAAAUAUCCAAUAUCUACUAUAGCAUACUAUCGGCUCAAAGAUCAACCUAGACAGCAUGUCUAAUUUGAUUUAGGAGGGCAUUUUAACCUAAGCAUCAUGCUUAAUUUAAACUCCCUUGGAAGUAAGAUCAUCAGCCCUAAACUAAGCACCAUGCUUAAUUAAGAGAUAAAUGAAUCUACUCCAAACCUAGACAUAUACUAAAGCAAAUAAAGGUAGCAUGAAAGCAUUUAUAGAGAUCUACUCAAGUGGAGAUGAAGUAGUGUGAUUAGUAUUUAACAGAUUGAGCAUGUCUCAAAGGUAGGGACAACCAACAUAGCAACAUGGCAAAGGAUGUUUUUAUGUAAAGUACUCCCCCAAGCUUGAAUUUUGCAAAAUUCAAGUUUGGAUGAAUUUAAUUCAAUGUUGUAUGAUGAUUGGUUGGACAUACCUUGUGCUUGUCAUUCAUCCGAUCUUCUUGCUCCAAUCCUGGAAAGGUUAGUGACAAGAAUACCCAAAGGAAUUUUUUUUACAAUUAUCCUUAUAUGCUCAAUACACAAGGUAAUGUUGCAAAUAAUUAAAAGCUCAUGUUACAAUCUGAUCAGUGCUUGUUUUAGGACACUAAGCUUGUCCUUGGGAAAUGUUGACGGUCCUUAAUGAUCACAAUUAACCAUCAACUAAUCAUAGAAAAGGAUCCAAAUGCAACCAACACCUAGACUUAGGGUUUUAUCUGAUAGAAUUCCACAAGUUUUGGUGUUUGUCUAUUUCUGUAGGGGGUUAUCAGGAAAUACGAAAGAAAGGCCCACACGUCGGGUUUACAUAGAGAUAUUAACGUACCGCACAAUUUUCUACCAUCUAGAAGACUCCAGAAGCCACGGGAACGAACGGGAGGCCGAUCGGGCUCGGAGGCAGGGCGCCCACCCAACUCUCCUGGGCGCCCGCCCAGCUACUGUGUCCAAUUCGGACCCGUUUCACGUAUUAUGCUCCACCGACCUAAAGGAUCAAGGAAAACCGUGCGAUCAAUGUCGGUUUGAUCUGACGGCCCAGAUUCACUUGAAGGGACUAUAAAACCAGACCCCCCUAGCCCCUGGAGAUCAUACCUCUUCUACAGAAUCAAAGUUAGGGUUUCAAUUCUUCAUCCAAGUAGAGAGGAUCCCUCUAGUUCUUCUAGUUCUACCUCUAGUUCAUCUAGAUCUAGUUCUAGUUCAUCUAGUUCUAGUUCUAGUUCCUCUAGUUCUAGUUCUAGUUAGUUCUAGUUGUAAUCUAGAAAAUAGGGAGAGAGAAGAGGAGAGCGGAGGAGGAGCCGGAUCUGUCGGAUCUUCCUCAACAUUGUACUCUUGCAGCAACUGGUUCGUUCUUCAUCGUUCUCCAGGUUCUUCAAUUCAUAACUCCUGAGUUCUCUAAUUACUUUUAUUUACAUUCAAGUUAUUUAUUGGAUUCCCGCUUGCAUCAAGUGCUCUAAUCUUUGAAACAUUAGAGUAGUAAUUAAUAGAUUAGACGUGGUGUUUAGUCUUGCAAUUACCUGGAAUUGCACCCAAUCCUUCGGAUUGUUGUGGUAGCCUUAGGGUAGUGACAGCCCUAACGGUCGACGUAUUCCACCUCGUUCGGAUCGGUGUUUGUAGGACCGUAGUCGGAGCUUCCUAGCCCCCUUCUCAUCUCUUUCUGUGGUUAGUGUUCUGAUGUCCCGAAAUAGAUAAUCUUGAAGUAAUUCUUGAUUCUUAGAUCAACUAGAGAACUCUCAGGAAACUUCCUCUCUUCUCACCAAAAAUAAUUAUAUAGUUAUCCUUGGGCGAUCUUGAUUCUUAAUUAGUACACUCACGUUCCCUGUGGAAAAUCGAUACUCUGGAAUACUCCCGGGUGAAGGCUACAUCGGUAUCCGUGCGCUUGCGGAUUUUUCUGUUUGCGUUUAAAAUACCCAACAAGCUUUCUGGCGCCGUUGCCGGGGAACGGUAGCUGUGCUAGUUUCGAACCAAGUCGUCCGUGUAUCCUUUUUCUUUUCCUUUUUUACCACACUCACCUUAUCAUUUUCACCAUACCACAUGGAUUUCACUCUAAGCAUUAGUGAGCAUGGAAUUUAUUUCAUAGCCACUUCAUUUACUCCAUGCUCAUAUGCACCAUCUUCACAAUCCAUUGGUCUCUCCAGCAUCACCACAUUCGAGAUCUCCAACCCCCUCUUCCUUUCUAUUUAUAAAAACUUUAAAAGGGCGGUUGUCGAUGCAUAUGUUUAUAAUAAAUAUUGCAGAUCUCGUUGAGUUGAUCUUGAUAUAGGUUAGCGUUGGAGGGGAAACCACUUCGCCGACAUAAAUUGAUGGUUUCCCAAGGACAAGCUUAGUGUCCUAAAACAAGCACUGAUCAGAUCGUAACAUGAGCUGUUAAUUAUUUGCAACAUUACCUUGUGUAUUGAGUAUAUAAGGAUAAUUGUAAAAAUAUUCCUUCGGGUAUUCUUGUCACUAACCUUUCUAGGAUUGGAGCAAGAAGAUCGGAUGAAUGACAAGCACAAGGUAUGUCCAACCAAUCAUCGUACAACAUUGAAUUAAAUUCAUCCAAACUUGAAUUUUGCAAAAUUCAAGCUUGGGGGAGUACUUUCCAAAAAAAACAUCCUUUGCCAUGUUGCUAUGUUAGUUGUCCCUACCUUUGAGACAUGCUCAAGUUGUUAAAUACUAAUCACACUACUUCAUCUCCACUUGAGUAGAUCUCUAUAAAUGCUCUCAUGCUACCUUUAUUUGCUUUAGUAUAUGUCUAGGUUUGGAGUAGUUUCAUUUAUCUCUUAAUUAAGCAUGGUGCUUAGUUUAGGGCUGAUGAUCUUACUUCCAAGGGAGUUUAAAUUAAGCAUGAUGCUUAGGUUAAAUUGCCCUCCUAAAUCAAAUUAGACAUGGUGUUUAUGUUGAUCUUUGAGCCGAUAGUAUGCUAUAGUAGAUAUUGGAUAUUUUGUUGGACUAACCCCUGCAGGAAAACUUUCAAUAUAGACUUGGGAAGUCCUGAGAUAAACUCACAUUGGAGACAAAGAGAGAGACGCAUGAAGGUUAACAAUUUACACAAGGAAGGCAUAGCUCACAAGAGAUGAUCCAUAGAGGGUGCCACAAACACGAUGCAUAACCGCUAAGAAAGGGAAGCUUCCAUAAGGUGAUACGGUACCAUCACUCUUCAAGUAAGGUAACAUCUUAAGGUACUUGACUUUCACUUCUAUAAGCUUCUCCUUUGUUCUGGCGUUCACAUGAAUAAAAGAGACAAACAUGUAUGAUUUACAACUCUAGAUUAACCAACCCAGUCGAUUCAAUAUGUUUAGUCCUUCCACCUUUGUGACCCCAUACUCCUAAUCAUAUGAACUAAAAUGUUGCACACUCAAUCUUUGGAAGAUAUAUUUUAUAAAAAACAACAUAAAUAUAGAAAGAUUAUCUUUCCAUUAGGUUGAGCGAUUUGAUCUAACAAAUGUUUUAAAUGUUAUACUCAUGAUCUUAUUAUCCAUCAACUUUGUCUUGCUCACUAUGCUUAAGGUUAGAGAAGAACAAAUACACUUUUGGUUCUGUUGGUGUUUUCCACCAACAGGGCCCAUGCACUUGAUCUCUGCCUUGUCUCUAUGAGUAGGUACACUUUGAGCAAAAUAUGAAGGAGUUUUACAACUCCCAGACUCCACCAAUGUGAAGAACCUAGAUCUAUGAGCACAAACACGCUGGAGAUACUGGACACUCAUGCAAACACUGCCCUGAGAUGCUUGAGGACGUAACUACUGGAGUAACCGCUUUGUGGAAGUAAUUACUGAUCUUCUGCCGGUUAAGAGAAACAAUCCAGGACGCCCCGUCAUCCCGAUCUCCAUCGGCAUGGUGGACUUCCUAGAAGCACUUUCUUGCAGAUUAGACACUAAGUUUCCCAAAGGGAAUAUUGAAGAGCCUCUGCGUCCGAGUUGGUACCUUGUACGCCCCAGCAGACUUCUUGGUAAUAGAGACUGGUACUGAUGAGAGGGCACCCAUCAUUCUAGAGAGGCCAUUCCUGAACACCUCGAGAGCUGUCAUCUACGCUAGUGCUGCCAAGAUCAGUUUCUUCAUCAAGGGGACGAAGGAGACGUUUUCCUACAAGAACAAAACUACACAAAUCUCAGAGCAAUCCUGACAUGAACCAAGGAAAGGACCAACAGGAGGAACAGGAACAAGCAAGUGUGGACCAAGUCAGCUAAGAUGGUCACUGCAGUUCAAGGAGGUCAAGAUCAUCUAUUUUAGUCACCGUUUCUGACCAAAAAGGACGACUCAGUCACCUAUCAGCUUCUGUUCGGAACCAUGCCCUUAAAACCGACAUACACCCAGCUCCAGAUGGCAGAUCAAACAUUUCGGGAAGUUGAAGUUAUUGACAUAGGAGAAGACGAGUACGAUCCACCCAUCAUCCUUGGAAGACCGUUCCUCAACACCGUUAAAGCAAUCAUCUACAUUGGAACCGGCGGAGUCCACAUGCACUUCCCCUCUGAAAAGGUCAGGACAAGAAGAAGAUGACGCAACCGCAACCAGAGGAGGCAAAUCAUCAAGGACGGAUGGGUAGACUAUGAAGAAGAAGUUGUAAGGUCUGAAGACAUACAGCUUGAACAGAACUGUCCUGAGGAGACCGUAGCAACGAGUCAGGUGUGGAGAGAGAAGAUAGUUAUACACGAAGAGGAGACGCCGUCAGAACCACCGACUACGCCAUCCAGCGAAUCCAGGACAACAGAGAAAAUGGAGAGUCCCGUUCGGAGGACUUAAAAACACCGCACGCCUUGCCAAGAGGUAAACUUGGUAGUUAUCUUUUCCCUUUCAACUAUUUAAAAUAGUUUGCUUAGUUAAUCAGGUUCAUAUCAUCACGAAAAGAAAAUAAAAAUGUUUAAAAUAGUAAGCCCCAUGUGAGUAUGCUCAUGGCAUAAAACCCAUAAGUACAUUCACUGUGGUGGUGUAAAAAUGAAAUAAAUAUAUUCCUGUCCUAUAAAAAUAAAAUUAUAAAAAUAAAUUUAUGAUCCUACUAAAGAGUGUAACAUUUAUUGAGGAGGCUCAACAUGAUAAAGGCUAGGUAUUAUGCUAACACUUAACCAGUUCCACAAAGCUUUGUUGUCUAUUUGAGCUCCACAGAAUUCAAGGAUCAAAGAAGACUAGCAGACGGAGGACAUCCUAAUCGUUGACACAGUGCUGCCGACAUUCAAAUACACCUCCGCCAGCUGCUAGCUACAUUAGAAGAAAUUGUGUCAAAAUCCAGCUUGGGGGAGAGCACCCCCAUUUAUCCAGCUAAGUGUUCUACUCACGUUUAUAUUUUACUCAAAUAAUAAAAAGAUGCAUAAUCAUAAAAACCCAAAUAAAUAUUUUGUGCUUAUAUAUAUCUUUGCUUAGUUUGCUAAAUAAAUAAAUAAAUAAAGUUUGCUAUGAACCCUCAUGAUAAGCUCUCACAUGGAAAUGAUGAAUAAUUGCUCUACCAUGACUAGUUCUUAAAUUGAAAUCUCUCUCAAGUUAGGCAUGACUGGUAUUAAUUAAGAUUUGCUCUAAACCUAAACUUGUGGGCAGAGUACUUGAUCUAAAGUCUAAGUUGUUAACAGAUAUGAUAUGGGAAGGUUGAGCUGCUGUUUAUCUGUUCCUAGAGAUGCUAGAAUUCUGGAGAAUUUUAUCUUUGAAAAUCUUUAAAAUGUUGCAUGAUGAGUUCCUAUAUGAUUAGAGUUUAAAUUCCUACCACAGCCAUAUAUACAUGCUUGCUAGACUUUGAGCCACACAUUUACUUUUUACUGCUUAUGAGCAUUGAGUGUGGUCAAGCUGUGUAGACCCUUAGAAGCUUGUCAUGUGGUUAAGUCAAGAUUCACUUGCACGUUCACUCACACAUGUUGCUUCUACUCCGGAAGUACGCAUCCACAUAUAUCCAUCCAUUUCCAUCUCCAGAACCACCCAAAAAUAUUCUACUCUUAAUCUGGGAGAGAAUAGCCAAAAAUAUUUCUGUUUUUCCCCUGUGAAAUAAAUGCUCAAGUUAUCUUGUUACUACCACUUGCUAUAUUAUUUCAAGAGAUGAGUGCUCUAAAAAAAAGAGAGAAAAAAAAGAAAGAAUAUGAGGAAAUAAAAAGGGGCAAGUGCCCGGAACCUCGAAAGAAAAAAAAAAGUGAGACGAGAGGUAAAAAUGGACAAGUGUCCGACAGUAGAAUUAGGGGUACAAGAUACCCACCCGAGAGAAAAGAAAAAGAAAAUAUAGAGCAUCUCAUUCUCCUCAAAAAGAUUUAAAAGAGUAAGAAAGGUAUGUAUCCCCUCAAAAGAGCACAAGUAGAAUUAGACUUUCACCAUUGUUAUCACCAUCAUCACCAUACACCAUUCAUUCGCCACACAUGCACAUCUUGAUUUGACUUAUUGACUUGUUCUUCUGGAUCCAUAGCUUGACUAUGCAAUAAAUGUCUUGUAAGUAUGUAUUAGCUGUCUCCCACCUAUGAGCUCUAGAUAUUAAAGCCUUAUUAGAGUAGGAUGAGAGAGAAGGCAAUGUCACUAUGCCUUAUGCCACAAAUACCACAUACUUUGAGAGAAGGCAUAUACCAUUACUACCUUGGUAAGGAUCCAGAAAUACCACAAAAGAGAGACUAGAGAGAGUCAUACAAGGAAUCUCUGAGUUUUAUUUGAAAAUCUACAAAAACUCCAGAGCUGUAGUUAAUCGAAGAACAAGAGACAUGGUGCUUGACUAGACUGUUCUGUCUUUUAACUACUCAAGACAGAAGUGACGGUUACAAGUCCCAUGGUGAAAGGUAAAUGAGUAAGUUUUAAGUCUUAACAGUUUACUCUAACCAGAGAUGAGAUCUUGUUUAAACGCAUGUGUAUCUUUAAGUUAUGAAACCACUGCAGAAACUCUUGAGUUCAUCUUUGCUCAGGGACGAGCAAAGAUUAAGCUUGGGGGAGCUUGUUGACGGUCCUUAAUGCUCACAAUUAACCAUCAACUAAUCAUAGAAAAGGAUCCAAAUGCAACCAACACCUAGACUUAGGGUUUUAUCUGAUAGAAUUCCACAAGUUUUGGUGUUUGUCUAUUUCUGCAGGGGGUUAUCAGGAAAUACGAAAGAAAGGCCCACACGUCGGGUUUACAUAGAGAUAUUAACGUACCGCACAAUUUUCUACCAUCUAGAAGACUACAGAAGCCACGGGAACGAACGGGAGGCCGAUCGGGCUCGGAGGCAGGGCGCCCGCCCAACUCUCCUGGGCGCCCGCCCAGCUACAGUGUCCAAUUCGGACCCGUUUCACGUAUUAUGCUCCACCGACCUAAAGGAUCAAGGAAAACCGUGCGAUCAAUGUCGGUUUGAUCCGACGGCCCAGAUUCACUUGAAGGGACUAUAAAACCAGACCCCCCUGGCCCCUGGAGAUCAUACCUCGUCUACAGAAUCAAAGUUAGGGUUUCAAUUCUUCAUCCAAGUAGAGAGGAUCCCUCUAGUUCUUCUAGUUCUACCUCUAGUUCAUCUAGAUCUAGUUCUAGUUCAUCUAGUUCUAGUUCUAGUUCCUCUAGUUCUAGUUCUAGUUAAUUCUAGUUGUAAUCUAGAAAAUAGGGAGAGAGAAGAGGAGAGCGGAGGAGGAGCCGGAUCUGUCGGAUCUUCCUCAACAUUAUACUCUUGCAGCAACUGGUUCGUUCUUCGUCGUUCUCCAGGUUCUUCAAUUCAUAACUCCUGAGUUCUCUAAUUACUUUUAUUUACAUUCAAGUUAUUUAUUGGAUUCCGACUUGCAUCAAGUGCUCUAAUCUUUGAAACAUUAGAGUAGUAAUUAAUAAAUUAGACGUGGUGUUUAGUCUUGCAAUUACCUGGAAUUGCACCCAAUCCUGCGGAUUGUUGUGGUAGCCUUAGGGUAGUGACAGCCCUAACGGUCGACGUAUUCCACCUCGUUCGGAUCGGUGUUUGUAGGACCGUAGUCGGAGCUUCCUAGCCCCCUUCUCAUCUCUUUCUGUGGUUAGUGUUCUGAUGUCCCGAAAUAGAUAAUCUUGAAGUAAUUCUUGAUUCUUAGAUCAACUAGAGAACUCUCAGGAAACUUCCUCUCUUCUCACCAAAAAUAAUUAUAUAGUUAUCCUUGGGCGAUCUUGAUUCUUAAUUAGUACACUCACGUUCCCUGUGGAAAAUCGAUACUCUGGAAUACUCCUGGGUGAAGGCUACAUCGGUAUCCGUGCGCUUGCGGAUUUUUCUGUUUGCGUUUAAAAUACCCAACAGGAAACCAUCAAUUUUUGUCAGUGAAGUGGUUUCCCCUCCAACGCUGACCUAUAUCGAGAUCAACUCAACGAGAUCUGCAAAAUUUAUUAUAGACAUAUGCAUCUACAACCGCCCUUUUAAAAUUUUUAUAAAUAGAAAGGAAGAGGGGGUUGGAGAUCUCGAAUGUGGUGAUGUUGGAGAGACCAAUGGACUGUGAAGAUGUUGCAUAUGAGCAUGGAGUAAAUAAAGUGGCUAUGAAAUAAAUUUCAUGCUCAUUAAUGCUUAGAGUGAAAUCCAUGUGGUAUGGUGAAAAUGAUAAGGUGAGUGUGGUAAAAAAGGAAAAGAAAAAGGAUACACGGACGACUUGGUUCAAAACUAGCACAGCUACCGUUCCCCGGCAACGGCGCCAGAAAGCUUGUUGGGUAUUUUAAACGCAAACAGAAAAAUCCGCAAGCGCACGGAUACCGAUGUAGCUUUCACUCGGGAGUAUUCCAGAGUAUCGAUUUUCCACAGAGAACGUGAGUGUACUAAUUAAGAUCCAAGAUCGCCCAAGGAUAACUAUAUAAUUAUUUUUUGGUGGGAAGAGAGGAAGUUUCCUGAGAGUUCUCUAGUUGAUCUAAGAAUCAAGAAUUACUUCAAGAUUAUCUAUAUCGGGACAUCAGAGCACUAACCACAGAAAGAGAUGAGAAGGGGGCUUGGAAGGUCUGACUACGGUCCUACAAACACCGAUCCGAACAUGGUGGAAUACGUCGACCGUUAGGGCUGUCACUACCCUAAGGCUACCACAACAAUCCGCAGGACUGGGUGCAAUUCCAGGUAAUUGCAAGACUAAACACCACGUCUAAUCUAUUAAUUACUACUCUAGCGUUAUAAAGACUAGAGCACUUGAUGGAAGCGGGAAUCCAAUAAAUAACUUGAAUGUAAAUAAAAGUAAUUAAAGAACUCAAGAAUUAUGAAUUGAUGAACCUGGAGAACGAUGAAGAACGAACCAGUUGCUGCAAAAGUACAAUGUUGAGGAAGAUCCGACAGAUCCGGCUCCUCCUCCUCCGCUCUCCUCUUCUCUCUACCUAUUUUCUAGAUUACAACUAGAACUAACUAGAACUAGAACUAGAGGAACUAGAACUAGAACUAGAUGAACUAGAACUAGAUCUAGAUGAACUAGAGGUAGAACUAGAAGAACUAGAGGGAUCCUCUCUACUUGGAUGAAGAAUUGAAACCCUAGCUUUGAUUCUAUAGAAGAGGUAUGCCUCUAGGGGCUGGUGGGGGUCUGCUUAUAUAGUCCAGGAAGAGUAGCCCCCAAGAAAUCUAGGAAGAGUAGAUCCCAAGAAAUCUAGGAAGAGUAGCUCCCAAGGAAUUUCCACGUUAUUCUCCACCAUCCGAUGAAACCGACCUUAAUCGUGUGAUUUUCCUUGAUCCUUAGAGUCGGUGGAGCACGAUCCGCGAAGUUGACCCUGAUUGGGCACUGUAGCAGGGCGGGCGCCUAGGUCAACUGGGCGGGCGCCCAGUGCCUGGCCCCGUUCGGCCUCCGCUUCCUUCCCGUGGCUUCUGGAGUCUUCUAGAUGGUAGAAAAUUGCGCGGCAUGUUAAUAUCUCUAUGUAAACCCGACCUGUGGGCCUUUCCUCCGUAUUUCCUGAUAACCCCUUGCAGAAAUAGACAAACACCAAAACUCGUGGAAUUCUAUCAGAUAAAACCCUAGGUCUAGGUGUUGGUUGCAUUUGGAUCCUUUUCUAUGAUUAGUUGAUGGUUAAAUGUGAGCAUUAAGGACCGUCAACAAAUAGGUGCAAAUCUAGCUAUGGUAGCUUAAUUGAACUUGAUGCUAAAAUAUUGACUAAAAGGUUGAAAGUAAGGACUCAUGAUAGUAAUGCUCUUUUGGCAAAGUUAUGCUAUCCAACCAACUCCACCAAAAAGCCUUGCAUAUCCUUGAGAGUCUUUUAUUUUCUCUCCUGUCGGGUAAGUCUAGCUGAGUACAUUCGAGUACUCAGGGUUUAUCCCACCCUGUUGCAGGUGAAGUCUUCAGUCUGCUAAAGAUGGUGGCUAACUGCCGGUGGGCUCGGUGAUUCUAUAUAGUGUUCUCAUCUAUAUGCUUUUGUUGGAGGAUGUCACUUAUGCUAGCAAUGUAUUUGAAACUUAUGUUAUUGUAAUCAUUUGAAAGCUAUGUUGUUUUCUAAUCAAUUUGGAAAAUCUAAACUUGUAUUAUUAUUUGUGAACUCUUUUGUAAUAUUAUUUCCGCUGCAAAUCUCCGUGUAUGUGAUGUGUAUUUGCUUAAUCAUGCGAUCUUGGUGUAAAGUUGAUUUACCGAGGUCCUUCGUGACACUCGGCAGACUACCGAGUUUAUAUAAGUGAGAGUAUGCGCGUGUCAACUUGUUAAACGUGGACAGUCAUGCUUAAACUUGUAUAAAUUGGGCGGUUCUGUCACAGCUGGCAUCAGAGCAAGAUUAAGUAUAAUACUAUCAGGUACAUUGUUUUAAAAACAAAGUUUUGGUUUUAAAAAUCCUAUUUUGACUAAAACUUUAGCUACAGGCAAAACUUGUCAAAACUAAUUUAUAAAAACUACGCUAGCGACAACCUCUAAUUAUGCCCAAUUAAGGACUACUAGGUGGCUUUAUGUAAACUGAUGCUAACUAUGGGGGUUUAUUUUAUCGCAACUUUUACUUUCGUCGUCCAUACGGCGUGCAAUAGUAUGGAUGCCACUUAAGUGGUAAUGAACUACGCCACGGUAAGUAAUAAUUUUCCUUUCGUUGUCCAUACAGCGUGAAAUUGUAUGGAUGCCACUUGCUUGAGUGGUAAUGUAUGGAUCUAUAUGCCUCUACGCUAUGGUAAGUGUGAGUUGUGAGAGCAUGACCGUCCAACCGUCGGUCUAGGGGAGAGUUAGAUGUGGUUACUGGAAUAUUUACAUGUUACACACAUGUCUAUAUGAAGGUACUUAAUUGUGGGUUAGUUGGUAUGACCGUGUAUACAUGUCUCUGUGUAUACAUGGGCGUGCUUCACAUGGGUAGUAUGCUGCAAUAUAUAUUCAGAAAUAUAUAUUGGAGUACUUAGCUUUCAAUCUAGAGACCAGACUUUCAUUUCUGCACAUAUAUUAUUGUUGGGAUGGGCUGAAAUGAAAUUCUUAUGCAGGUACACUAACCACGAAUGCAUAGAUUGAACGUAGUUGACGACUAGCUAUAUGUCGAGAGAGUACGUGUUAUGCCACCGACAUAGAACGUGAUUGCCACCAUAGGCUGGCAAUUUUGUGAGGACGAAUAAGACGAAGCAUGCAUCCUUAUGAUUGUUGCAUUAUGCGUGACUAUGCUUCUCCCACCUUGUUCCAAAAUAAGUAACUUGUGAGUGAUAUGAUGUUACUCCUUUCCUUGUGUGAAGCUAUAUACAAAUUUGUCUUAGUCCAUGCUACUUGAAUAGUUUUGCUUGAAAGUAGUGUGCGAUGUGUCUAGCCUUGAAAUGUUGCUUCUAUAGGAGUGCUAAGUAAGCAGUAGUAGAAACUAUAAUCCUUUCAAAACUAAAGCUUGUCGGUGAACAUGUAUGUGGAUGUUUUCUGUGAUGUCUCUAAUUUUAAUUAACUAAGUAAAAAUUUGGCGUACCUAUAAUAGAAAUAGUUGAGGCUAUAUGCUUGAAUUUGUAGGUGUCCACUUGUUUAGCCAAGUGGCGAAUACGUUGCUCAUGAAAGUGUUUGCAAAUGUUUUAACCUCACUUAAACAAUUGUGAUUCUUCUGUUAAUCCCUCAUUGUCACCAAACUACAUUAUUGUUUAUCUAGGUAAUAAUGUUUGUAGCUACUGGGGUUAUACAUGUGUGUGCUCUCUUGUUAAUAGAACAAGGGAAAACAUUGCUUGAUAUGUGUGUUGAAUUUGGCUGCUAGAGCAGUUUGUAUUCUAGUGGUGUUUUUAUAACAAUAAUGGUGUUUCCUGUAAUUAUAGUGAAUACCAAAGUUGUAGCCAACUUCAAUAUCUAGUCUAUCCUAAAAUUUCAUGACCAUAGGCCUGAUGGUUUAGGAGUUAUGAACUUUUGAAGUUUGUUGUCAGAUCCUGAUUGUGUUAUGAACAGAUCUGAAUGUUUAGUUUGUUUGACUAGUAUCCAUAUAAAAUCAUAGAAAAAUCAGUUAGAAGAUUAAUCACUACCUUGGAAAUGACUCCAUGAUAUCCCUGAAGGCUACGUCUCAUAAAAUAGUGUCAUGCGAAGAAAACAAUAAGUUGAUCAACGAUGCAAAUACUAUUUCCUUUUCUAGGCCUUGAGUUGUCAAGUCAAUUCAAUCUUGGACAAACACAUAGAUGGUACCAAAUGCUAUAUCUAAGUCACAAGCUAGAGAAAAGCACAUCCCUAGUCUCGGUUAGCAUCAUUAUAUGUGUGGUGCUAUCAAAGGUUUUGUUUUGUUUGGUUAGCCAUAUGGUGUUUGCUUGAGCUGAAUUUUGGUUAAUGAUCAUAAGACUCUUGGAUCUCUAUACACACUAACAAUUCAUGCAUAAUGAAGCUAGUUUGUGCGGUGUGAACUGAACCUUAGGAUGACCUAUAAAAGACUCCUUUCACCCUUGGACACCUAGUUGUUACCCUAUCACAUCAACCGAUAGUUGAGCAAUCUAGGAGUUCUACAAGUCAAAAAUAAUUGGAAAGGUGUUAAACAACAAAUCCUAGAUUUAUUAUCUUAGAGCUGUUGUUUGAUCCUAGAAAGGAAGCCGCAAUGUCCAAAGUAGUUUCACCAAGCUAUUUUGCUACUGUACGAACUGACCCAACUUACUAAGCCACUACUUAGUGAUGGGAAAUUUCAUAGUUGACUUGCUUGGUAGUAGCUUGUUUCCCUAGUUCAGUGAAUACUUGCAACUGUUGUUGUCCUCUAUACCUUGCUAUCAUCUGUCUUUAGCAAUGCUUAUCUAAUGCUAACAUGUCUUGGGUAUCUUCUAUGUUCCUUUUACCCAAGAGGUUGUGUUUGAUACGACCUAGGUAAUUGUUACCACUUGGAGUCAAGAAAUUCCUUGAAUGGUGAGCAUUGACUUGGUAGACUCAGAUAAUACAGUGCUGUUAGCAGAGAAAGAGAACUGCACACAUGGAACCUUAGGUAGCUUUCCAUCAAUUGGCAUCUAAAUGAUUAGACCUUAUGACCAAAAUAGACAUUGUUUGUUGGUUAGUUUGAUUCUCAAAACCUCAAAGGAUGUUUCUCUAGUUCAUGAUCUCAUCUCCUACAGAAGGUUGUACUCAAGCCAUUUUGGUAGAGCACUGCCUUUCAAGCUUUGUGAACAUAGACGGAAACAUUGCAAUGAGUAGUUUACUUUGCUCCGAACCAUCCAUCAUACAUUGGGAAUGAAGUACAUGUGAUAGUGUUGUCUUAAAUUCCUCCCAAAGUAACAAUACUUCACGGAAGUCAAUAAAGGAAAUUCUUUAGACAAAGAUUCACUAUGAAGAACUAGUAUCAGAAAGUGUCCUGACCAAAUUACCCUCUCUGAUGCUCGGUGAUAAGUAGUUGACUGCUAUCGCCAAUGUUAGAAGUGAAUAACAUGCUUCUCUACCCUUGGAAGUCUUUUGUCCUGAAUCUCGGGACGAGAUUAUUUUAAGGGGGGAGGGUUGUAACACCCCAGGUGUUUGCCAUGAGUUAGACUUUAGGUUUUGAGCUCAAACAUGUCAUGAUGAGUGGUGAUGAUCAUGUUAAGGUUAAUCCAUGAAAGUGAGCCUGAAGAUAAACUUAGAGAAUGCACCCUUGCUUACAUAUAGUACCUUUUCAAAGUGCAUGCUUAGGUGAUGUUUAUGAAAUCUCUUUCAUGUGUCCGACAUCCAUCACGACCUAUAGUGAUCACUCAAAAAGUUUCAUGGAGUUUGGAAUCAAAAGGUCACAUGAAAUGUUAAGUUACAUGCUUGUUGGAAUGACCUCAUUAAGUGAAAAAAACCAUAGGUCAUCAACCAUUCUUUGCAACCUUGCCCAAAUGACUCUAGAUGAACUCUACAACAAAAGUCAUGAAGGGUUCAUGUUGAGCUUGUGCCCAGAAAGUGCUUCAAUUUCCCUAAAACCUUAAUUCAAGCUUUAUCAAGUUGCUGCUUUGACCAAAGUGAAAGUUUGAUUUCUGUACUAGUUCUGAGGUUUGACCUUAAAUCAAAGUUGUAGUUUAGAUUCGGUAGAACAAACUUUGUUUAAUGGUCAAGAACUAGUUUGGUCCCUAACCUUGUCAAAUUGAGCUGACAAGAUUCAAUGCAGUGCUGUUUUGGAACUCCAGAAAUUGGCUAAGUCAUCAAGGUGCUCAGUUUCGGGUACCCUAGUUGGGAUCCCUGUAUCUUACUAACCAGGCCAAAACAGUAUAAGAUCCUUUAAGCAAAGUUGUAGUACAGAUUGUAUACUACAAUCUUUGUUAAAGUUUCCAAGUCUGAAUCUUCAUCUAAGCAUGUCAAAUAUGAGCCACAAAAUUGAAUCUGAUAUAGUUUCCAGCACUUAGAGUUUUUAAGUCUAGGUUUGCAGUUCAUCACGUUGGCAUUCCGCGUUCUCCAAAUUUUACUAAACAACUUGCUUGUGUCACAAAAUAAAAGUUGGAGCACAUAUUGUGGGCUACAGCAUGCCAAAAGAUAACACCAGUUUGACUUCGUUUUGGUCAUCAAUUUUGAGUUUCGCUAAUCACUAUCAAUUCGUUGACACUCAUAGAUUGGCAUCAAAUUAUCUAUUAAUCUGUAAUCCUAAUGACCAUGACACAUAAAUGAAAAAUGUAGAGCAGCACGAGUUUGACAAACAUCAUUUUUGGCCCAUGUCCAAAUUCGGCCCGUAUGUAUGGAUCCCACGUUGACCACUCUGUUGCCCGCCACCUGUUCGGCAUAAUGCCUCAAAGGCCAGCACGUGUUCUAGACGUGGCAUCCAUGCCCGGAUGCGCCCCCUCCUCCUCUGCUACUCGCCCAGGCGCCCCCCCCACGCCCGGUUGUCGAAGUGGAGAAGCACCCCAGUGCCUUCCUCAUCCAUUUCCACCCCCGGCUCGCUCUCUCCCUCGCCCUAUGGCCACUCCGGAGCAGGGCCACCAUGGCCGGCCGCCAUGCCUCAGGGGUGAGCGUGGCCAAGCCACCACGAGUCUCCUCGGGCCGAGCUGAGUGGUCUUAUGGAUGCAGGGAAGUCUCCUGGUGCUCCCCCACCCCUCCCUCACCGUCGGCGUGGCCAUCUUUGGCCAGAAAGCGCAAAGCCGGCGAUCCUCCUCCGUUCUCUGUUCGAGCAGAGAAAGAAAAAGGGCCUCGUGUUGGAAUAAGAAACAAUCCAGGGUUCCAAAUGCGAAGCCAAGACUCAUAUAAAUAGUAUUUGUGGGAUGUUGCGUGAUUCGUGGAAAGUCCAGGGUCCCCGGUUAAAGAUCUGUUUUCCUUUUCCUUUGUUUUUGCAGAUUUCUGGGUGAAGUUUGAAAAUCCAUAGUAAUUCAUUGAAAAGUCAUAAAAUAGCAAAGGUGGACUUUUUGGAAUCCUUGUGAAAUUCUCUAUGCAGUAGAUCUAUAAUAUGGCAUGGUUUAGUUUUCAGUUUUAGCAGUAAAAAUAGAUUUAUGCAGUUCGGUUUUAAUUGCUUGUUAUAUUUGUCUUUUUAAUAACCACUGUACUAUUGCUCAAAUAAAUGUGAAAAUAUUGUGGCAUGCUUUAUAUAUACUAUUUGAUGUCUGGUAAAAGUUUCAUGAAUUUAGGCAUAACAGAUUAAGAGUUAUAAAAAUAACAAAUGCUCUGUGUUGCCUUGCUCCUAUUCUGAGUAUGUCUGCAUGUUUAUAUUGUUUGGUUCAGUUAGGUUGUGAAUCAUUCCUGGAUGAAAAUAUAUGAGUUGUAGUACUUUUCAUAAGCUUUCCAUCAAGCUAAAUAGCAUAAUUUUUGGUCAAGCAUAUGUUUAGUUAUAGUAGUUUAAAUUACUAUUUCAGUUUCUGUCUAAAUCCAGACAGCAAUGCAUUGGUUGUUAUGUAAGACCUUGUUAGUUGUAGAUUUAGCUCUAGAUGUUUAUAAAAAAGUUGUUCACAAUUUAGUAAGCGUUCUAGAAAGCACAUAACCAUAAUUUAUGGGCAUAUGAAACUCAAGUUAUGGCUGUUUAAUGUGACAUGAUAGAUUCUGUCCAUGUUUUGGACAGAGAUGUCUUUAUGGAUAUUGAUAAAUGGUUUAUAAUUAUAAAUAAAAAUGUAGAAAUAGAAAAUGUUGUUCCAAUACAAUCCUAUGAUAUUAUUGUAUCAUGUUUAUGUAUGUUAUGGCCAUGUGUUUGAAGAAAAUAUGAUUUGUGCAUUUAUCUUGCUCUCACAUGGUUAAUUGCAAUAGCAAUUUGUCUUUUUCAUAGAUGUUGCUAUGCUUAUUCAAAUACUGUGAAAUUUAUACAGCAGUCUAUUCAUGGUAUUUAGAGGCUACUAUAAUUUUUGUAGAAUUUACUGUGCAUGUUUGAUAUAUGUUCCUUAAUACACCUUAUUAUCCAAAUAAAUUAAGAAAUGCAUUAAAUAACUUUAUUUGGAAAUGACCACUAUGUUUUCUGGUGUUCUUUAGAUAUAUGCAAACUGUUGGUAAUAAUGGUUUUGCUCAAAUGCAUGUUUGAAAUAUAAGUUAAUAAUUAAUUGUUUGCAAUUGUUAUUUCUGGACAGUUUCGGGAACUGUUUGGAUUACAAUGUGUAAAUGAUGUUUUCUGGGAAUCUUGUUUAUAGUAAAGUUGUAGAUAAUUCAUUUAUCUAGCUGCUGUCAAAAUUUGGUGGCAUUUGGUUAUGUGGUUUGUAUGUUAUGGCUGUUCACAGUUGAGUUUCAGAAAUGGUUGCUCUCUGUCUUGUUAGGACCUGAUUCUGUAAUUCUAAUAUUUCGACCUGCCAAACUUAUGAAUCAUGCUUUGAUAUAUAAAUAUGAAAUGUAGAUAAUUUCCUAAGCUUUUCAGAAUGUCUUCUUUCAUGUCUUUUCGAAUUGUGUAACUCCAGUUAUGAUUUAUUAUCUCAGCUACUGUUAACAGUCCUAAAAAUAACAGAUUCCUUGUAUUGCUGUUGCUUGGUAUAUUGCUAGGUGUGACUCAUGUCUUUGAUAAUGGCCAUGUUAUUACACCUGAAAUCUUGUGAAACAUGUAUGCCAUGCCUGAUAUACUUGGUUGCAUUCUUUUCUAUUUUAGUAUGUAGGUUUGUGUGAUGUUUAAGUAAUCAAUGAGAAGUGCUUAUGUAUGUUUAGUGUAACCAUGCUCUUGACAUACUUCUUGUGUGUGAUGCUUUAUCUAUUGCACUUCUAUGUGUUCAUACACUUGCAUCUUGCAUCUCAUUUAGGUACGCUAGAUGAACUACGUGAAGGACUUUAUGGUGGACCUAACCGGAUGAUGGAAGGACUACACAAGUGUUGUCACCUUAGAUGUCGUUCAGACGGUGUAAGCUGACAUAACUGACUUGUGUCGGAUUCCAGGCAAGCCCCGGAGCAUUUUAAGUCUCCUACCCUCUGUUUUUAUAAAAGCACAAGAGUAUAACUUUAUAUGAUGCAUUAGGUGAUAGGAGUUGAAUGAAACCGUUGGUGCAUAUAUUCCUACCUUGUCCACUAUAUGAAACUACCUGAACCCUUAACGUUCUAUGCUUAGCUAUGCUUAGCUCGGUAGAAGCCGGGUGAUUUCCUGUCACCUGCGAGAGAUAGGUGGAUACCUGAUCACGGUUGGCUAUAUUUGCUAUCGUGGAAAUAACCAUGUGCUAAUAAUGAAUUUGAGACCGGGCGGGAUGACGAUAGUGAAGCAACAAGGCAUGGAGGUCUUGGGUGUGAAUCUAUCCCCGUUUGUGUCGUUUAAGGACCGAUACGCUGUACGUCCUCGUGUCAUGUUGAACGCAUGCCUACCACUUAGCUGGCCGGAUAAGUCGUUCCGACCGCGAAGCCUACGAGUGCAACUCCGGCCGGAUACCCCGAUCUGGUUAAAGUGCGCACCCCGGUUGGUAGUAAGGAUGUGCGGGGAGUCAAUGGCGUAAGACCGAGGAGUCAGGUUAGAGUCCUGACCCUGGCAGAUUGGCGGUCCCUGGGGGUGCGGCGCCGUACGGACCCGCGAAUUGGUCCGGAGUUGUGCUAAAGGUGAUCCAAGCUACUCUAGCUAAGUACGCCUGGGUGAGUGCUAGGAAUACCCCUCCAGCUGGAUAGGAAUCGAUUCGAAUCGCCGUCUCUCCCGGAUAGUGAGAACUUGACUCGAGCAGCGGCAACGUAGAUACACUAAAUGAAACUUAAUGGUUAUGAUGAUGAUGAUGAUGGCUACAUGAUAAACCUGAUACGGUUAUUAAUGUGAUGCUUAAUAAUCAAGUGGUUGCUAUAGAAUAGGUGCAAAUCUAGCUAUGGUAGCUUAAUUGAACUUGAUGCUAAAAUAUUGACUGAAAGGUUGAAAGUAAGGACUCAUGAUAGUAAUGCUCUUUUGGCAAAGUUAUGCUAUCCAACCAACUCCACCAAAAAGCCUUGCAUAUCCUUGAGAGUAUUUUAUUUUCUCUCCUGUCGGGUAAGUCUAGCUAAGUACAUUCGAGUACUCAGGGUUUAUCCCACCCUGUUGCAAGUGAAGUCUUCAGUUUGCUAAAGAUGGUGGCUAACUGCCGGUGGGCUCGGUGAUUCUAUAUAGUGUUCUCAUCUAUAUGCUUUUGUCGGAGGAUGUCACUUAUGCUAGCAAUGUAUUUGAAACUUAUGUUAUUGUAAUCAUUUGAAAGCUAUGUUGUUUUCUAAUCAAUUUGGAAAAUCUAAACUUGUAUUAUUAUUUGUGAACUCUUUUGUAAUAUUAUUUCCGCAGCAAAUCUCCGUGUAUGUGAUAUGUAUUUGCUUAAUCAUGCGAUCUUGGUGUAAAGUUGAUUUACCGAGGUCCUUCGUGACACUCGGCAGACUACCGGGUUUAUAUAAGUGAGAGUAUGCGCGUGUCAACUUGUUAAACGUGGACAGUCAUGCUUAAACUAGUAUAAAUUGGGCGGUUCUGUCACAUCGAGUGCGUCGAGUACGGGGAGGCGGUCGAAAACUCCACCGAGCUCGUCGCAAAGCUCGAGGCCCUAGCCGCUGAGGCUCCAGAGCCCAAGCGCCACGCGGGUAGCUUCGAGCCAGCAGAAGGAACCAAGAAGAUCCCGCUCGACCCUAACAACUCCAACGGCAAGGUGCUGAUGAUCAGUGCCGACCUCGACCCCAAAUUGGAAGCUGUGCUGGUCGACUUUCUCCGUGCAAACGCCGACAUGUUUGCAUGGAGUCCCUCGGACAUGCCAGGCAUACCGAGGGAAGUCGCCGAGCACUCCUUGGAAAUUCGUGCCGCAACGGUUGCGCCGAUUCAACGAGGACAAGCGCAAGAUCAUUGGCGAGGAGAUCCACAAGCUUUUGACGGCCGGAUUCAUCAAGGAGGUUCAUCAUCCCGACUGGUUAGCAAACCCUGUACUAGUUAAGAAAAAGAAUGGGAAAAUGAGGAUGUGUGUCGACUAUACGAGUUUAAAUAAAGCAUGUCCGAAAGUUCCUUUUCCUUUACCACGUAUUGAUCAAAUUGUUGAUUCUACUGUGGGAUGUGAAACCCUUUCUUUCCUUGAUGCAUAUUCUGGUUACCACCAAAUAAAAAUGAAAGAGUCCGACCAGCUCGCGACGUCUUUUAUCACACCUUUUGGGAUGUAUUGUUAUGUAACCAUGUCGUUUGGGCUUCGAAACGCGGGAGCUACGUAUCAACGCUGCAUGCUCCACGUGUUUGGCAAGCACAUAGGGUCGACGGUCGAGGCCUAUGUCGACAACAUCGUAGUCAAAUCAAAGCGGCGAGGAGACCUGAUCCAGGAUCUCGAGAUUGCUUUUAGCUGCUUACGCGCCAACCAGAUUAAGCUCAAUCCUGAGAAAUGCGUUUUCGGCAUGCCUCGAGGCAUGCUCCUGGGUUACAUUGUUUCCCAGCAUGGCAUCGAGGCCAACCCCGAGAAAGUCUCGGCCAUCACAAGAAUGGGGCCGAUCCGAGACAUCAAGGGUGUGAAGAGAGUCACGGGAUGCCUAGCGGCGCUGAGCCGUUUCUUCUCGAGGUUAGGAGAAAAGGCGUUACUAUUAUAUCGGCUCCUGAAGAAAGUCGAGCGUUUCUCUUGGACUCCCGAGGCCGAGGAAGCCCUCGAAAACUUGAAGAAAACGCUGACUUCAGCACCGGUCCUGGUCCCGCCUCAACCUGCAGAACCACUGCUCCUUUACGUUGCCUCAAUGACUCAGGUCGUCAGUGCAGCUGUGGUUGUCGAGAGGCAGGAGGAGGGGCAUAUGUUGCCAGUCCAGAGACCGGUCUAUUUCAUCAGGGAGGUGCUCUCAGAAACCAAGACGCGUUACCCUCAAAUCCAGAAGCUAAUAUACGCCGUAAUCCUCGCCCGACGCAAGCUGCAACACUAUUUCCUCGGCCACCCCAUCACGGUGGUCUCGUCCUUCCCCUUGGGCGAGAUAAUCCAAAAUAGGGAGGCCACGCGAAGAAUAGCUAAAUGGUCGGUCGAGCUCAUGAGUGAGACUCUCACUUAUGCGCCCUGUAAGGCUAUCAAGUCACAAGCCCUGGUGGAUUUCGUUGCGGAAUGGACAGACUCCCAGCUCCCCCAACUCAGGUUCAGUCGGAGCUGUGGACGAUGUAUUUCGAUGGGUCUCUCAUGAAGAUGGGGGCUGGGGCCGGCCUGCUGUUCAUCUCGCCCCUGGGCGUUCAUAUGAGGUACAUCAUCAGAAUUCACUUUGCCGCAUCCAACAACGUCGCAGAAUACGAGGCCCUCGUCAACGGUCUCAAGAUCGCCAUCGAGCUAGGAGUCCGAUGCCUUGACGUCUGAGGCGACUCCCAACUCGUCAUCGACCAAGUGAUGAAGACCCCAAACUGCCACGACCCGAAAAUGGAGGCGUACUGCAAGGAAGACCGUCGACUUGAGGACAUAUUCCAUGGCCUCGAGCUCAUCCACAUCGCCCGACGCUACAACGAGGUGGCCGACGAACUCGCCAAGAUCGCGUCAACCCGAGGCACGGUACCACCUGACGCGUUCUCAAGAGAUCUUCACGAGCCAUCCGUCGACUUGGGCUCGGGGGCUGGCAUCGAUGCCACUCCUGCCCAGCAAACCGACACCGUCGACGCACUACUGACGGCAGCUGAGGUAAUGGAGGUGGAACAACGGCCCGGUCGACCGUUCGACUGGCGCACACCGUUCCUCGACUACCUAAUCCGCUGCGAGCUGCCAGAAGAUCGAUCCGAGGCCCGCCGUAUCGCUCGACGGGCCAAGUCAUAUGUGAUCUACGGCGAGGGCAACGAGCUAUAUUGACGGAGCCCGACGGGGGUCUUGCAGCGUUGCAUCACCGUGGAAGAAGGCCGGAAACUCCUCGAGGACCUACACUCGGGGGCUUGUGGCCACCAUGCUGCUCCACGGACCCUCGUAGGGAACGCCUUCCGACAAGGCUUCUACUCGCCAACGGCCGUAGCUGAUGCCAUCGAGCUCGUACGCUCACGCCACGGGUGCCAGUUCUAUGACAAACAGACUCAUUUGCCCGCCCACGCUCUUCAGAUGAUCCCCAUCACAUGGCCAUUUGCGGUGUGGGGGCUCGACUUAGUAGGGCCUCUACAAAAGGCAAAAGGAGGGUACACCCACUUGCUGGUGGCUAUCGACAAGUUCUCCAAAUGGAUCGAAGCUCGACCCAUCACCAACAUCCGCUCCGAACAGGCCGUCCUUUUCUUCACCGACAUCAUCCACCGAUUUGGGAUCCCCAACGUCAUCAUCACCGACAAUGGCACUCAGUUCACGGGCAAGAAGUUCUUGGACUUCUGCGAUCAGCAUCACAUCCGUGUGAACUGGUCUGCAGUAGCCCAUCCUCGAACUAACGGCCAGGUCGAGUGUGCCAACGGCAUGAUUUUGCAGGGGCUCAAACCAAGGAUCUACAAUCGCUUGAAGAAAUUCGGCAAGAAGUGGGUCGAGGAGCUUUCCUCGGUCUUAUGGAGCCUAAGGACGACGCCAAGCAGGGCCACAAAAUACACCCCAUUCUUCAUGGUCUACGGCUCUGAGGUUGUCCUCCCCACAGACCUCGAGUAUGGGUCCCCUCGACUUACAGCGUACAACGAACAAUCAAAUAAAGAAUCUCAAGAGAACGCGGUCGACCAACUCGACGAAGCUCGAGAUAUGGCCCUCAUCAACUCUGCUAGGUACCAACAGAAGCUUCGACGCUACCACGACAAGCACGUGCGCAGGAGGGACUUGAACGUGGGAGACCUCAUUCUACGUCGGCGACAAAGCAACCAAGGACGCCACAAGCUGACCCCACCAUGGGAGGGCCCAUAUAUGGUGGCCGAGGUCUUGAAGCCAGGGACAUACAAGCUUGCGGACGAAAAGGGGGCGGUCUUCACCAACGCAUGGAACAUCAAACAGCUACGUCGAUUCUACCCCUAGAAUUUCAAAGCUUUAUGCUCCUACGUAUGCUUUGUACCAAGGCCUUGUAAAUGAAUGUACGAAUAAAUGAAGUCUUUCCCUCGAGCGAUUUACUUUUGCACAAGUCUCAAUGAUAGAAGGGAGUAUCGACUACGACCUAUCAUAGUCGACACUCCCUCGGGGGCUAGCAAGGGGGGCGACCCCCCCAAGUGUCGAAAAAAUCUAGCAAUCCUUUCAUUCCUAUCGGUAAUCUCACACGGUUGAGUAGUAAAGGUACCUCGAGACCCUUAAGGGAUGAGAAACGACAAGCCUGAGAACUCCUACGCCCCUGGGCUAUGGAAACUCUACUCGCCUCCUCACCCUUGAGGCAAUCAAGACCGCCUCGAACAAAAGACCAAGUGAGAAAAAACAAACAUAGGCACAAAAAGGAAAAAAAAGAAGCCUUGAGAGAAAAGGUAGACAAACAUAUAACAAACACUUAAAGAUACUGUAUCACUUGAAAACAGGAUUAACAAAGUACUAUACAAGGGGCCCCAUGCACCCUGAGCAGGCUCGCAGGCCUUAGCCCACAGCACGGUCCUCACCACCCUCGCCUGCGCCCGAGCUAGUCUCAUGGGGAAGCACCUCAGGCUCAAAUAGCUUGGCCAGCCUCUCUCCAGGAGCCUCCACGUCGUCAAUCAAGGCAUGGAGCCUCUCUUUGUUCUCCGCGUCGGUCUUGGAGAUGUCGGUGACGAAGCCGUGGGACACCACCUCCAUGACGUAGGAGAAGCCUGAGCAGACGACCGCCAUUGCUCGCCUCACCCCGAUGUGGAGGGCAUCCCGCACCCGAUCUCUCAGCGUCGCGCCUAAGUAGCAUAGCUGGUCGACCAGUGCGUUGCCUCGAGCGUCCUCCUUCGACUCGUCCAUGGGCUUGAUCUCCCAAGUGGUCGAGAGAUCGCUUAUCGCCGUCCGCACUCGACGGUUCAAAGCAACCUCCGCCUCGAGCUGGGCUUUAGCAUGGCGGGCCUCGACUUGGGCGGCCAAAAGUUCGUCCUUAAGCCCUGUGAAUGCCAACGCAAAAAACUUUAGGAAAAACCAAGCACACCUCGAAAAGGAAAUCCGACAAUAGAAACGUACCACGAAUGCUCUCCUCCAGGGCCGUGUUCUCGCCAACCAAUUUAGUGUUGGCCAUCUCGAUCUCUUUAUUGGAGCGUGCCAGCUCAGUAUUGGCGACUCAAAGAUCCUCGAUCGCCUUGCCAGCCUGAGCAAUGGCUCCACUCUUCUCCAACAGUUCUCCCUUCAGACGGUCGACGUCGUCAGAGAGGCUGCGGGAUCGAGCCCGCUCCGCCUCGAGGUCUUCGAGGGCCUUCUUCUUCGCUUCCUCCAUGGCCCCCCUGGCGACCUCGCUGUCCACGUACGCCACCUUCAUCCUUUGAAAGGAGUCUCGGAGGGAGUCCAGGUCGGCCUUGAGAACGCCCUUCUCCCUGUCCAAGUCAGCAAUGACGUUCUUGUAGGACAGGGCCUCCUCCCGGGCUUUGGACGCGGCCUCCUAGACCGUCAGAGCCCACUCCCGCAGCAGCAUCGUCUCCUCCACCGCCUUCCUUGAGGCCUCCCGAGCCUCGACCAAGGCAGCCUCUCUCGCCUUCUUCUCCUCCUCGAGCGCUAUGAGGUCUUUAUAAGCCUUAAGGAGUUUUUCCUGUGACUCGAGGAGUUGGUCCUUCAGGACGGGGAGCUGCUCCCAGCUGCCUCUUGUGGCGUGAAUGAAGCUCGACUUGAUACGGGAGGUCUCUUUCAUAUCCUGUGAGUCGGUGGUCGAACGGUUAGAACACGAAACCAAAGGAUCUAUAAGAAUCAAGGACCGAAAAAUACUUACGAAGUAGGCCGGCCCGAGCCCGUUGUUGAUGACGUCCGAUAGGAGCCCCACCAUGUGCUUCAUCCAAAGGCGGAGCUCCUCGACAUGUUCCCAUUUCUCCGCCUCCUUCCUAUCGUCCACGAAGAUGUUGGGCUCAGACGGGUCGGUGGAAGCCCGGAUGCGGAUCCGAUCGGGGCACCAGUUCUCCAUCUCCCAGUCGGCCCGCGCCUUGACGCCACGAAUAAGGUCCUCGACGGCCUCGAGGGAUCCCACAUGGCGCAGGAACAAGUCGACGAUGGAAGGGAACCGCCCGUCGUCGUCCACCGUCUUCCAGGUACCGUCUUGGCUACCCGACGUCCCGGCCUCAUCCUCCUCGGCAGGGAUGUGGUCCUCCCACGCCCGGCGCUCCCGGAGGAACCCUGGGGCGAUCCCGUCCAUGCCGUAGAUCGUCCUCCUGAUCUCGGACUCGGGGUCGGCGGGGGUACGCAUCAUGCAGGCAAGCGCUACCACACCGUCCGCUCGCCCCCGCUCUGCUGGGAUCGCGGCGGGCGCCCCAGGGCGGAGCCACGCCGGGGUCGGAGGACCAAAAACCGGCAAAUCCUCCUCCUGGCCUCCGGGUUCUUGCGGCGCUGGUGGUACAGGUUGGGGCGGACUGUGAGGAGGGGGCUCGAGCAGUUGCUGCUGCUGCUGCUGUUGCUCCUGCAGCAGCUGCUGCGACUCCUGCUGUUGCUGCUGUUGCUCCUCCUGCUGCUACUACUGUUGCUCCUCGAGCUCCUGCGACUCUUGUCGGUAGCCCUGCUCCUGCGGCUGCUGCCUUGCCUCGCGCUCCCGCUCCUCCUCCUCCUCCUUUUUAUUCUGCUCCUCGAGGGCGCGAAGACCAGCAGGCCAGGGAGUCCGUCCCGCGACGAGGGAGCUCGACGCGUCCUCCUCCAUAGGGCGGGCAUCCCUCGACGUCUCGUUGCCACCAGACGUGUCACUGAUGGUAAUAGGAUCCUCCUCGACCCCCGAUCGGGGAGGCUCGGGGACUCCCCCUUGCCCUUGGGUUUUGGGCGCCUCGGUCCGUGUCGGCGGCGACGGGGCAGACUCGGGACGAGGCGGGGCACUCUCAAGACCGGUCGGAGGAUGGGAGUCGGAGGAGCGUGUAAAACAGAGAAUAAAGGCCGGUCACUAUGAUGACUAGCGGAAGAACAACUCAAGUCCCAAAAGUAAGCUACCAACCUGAUUCCUUGGAGGCCACUCCCACCUUGAGCUUCAUCGCCAUCGAAGGCUGGGCCUGCUCGAGCGUCCGUUUCAACCUAAGGAAGGAAGAACAGGCGUAAAGGAGACUGCUACAUGAGAAAACGCAGAGGAACAGGAGAACAAAAAUCACAACAUCGAAGAACUUACCCUACAGGGAGAACAGCUCGCCUGCCGGUGCCCCGACCGGUGGGCCUCGAGCCACCCCGCGUCAAGGUCCCGGGCCCCUCGAGGACAGGCGCUGGCCUUGGCCCAGCAACUUCCGCUUGGCGGGCACCGGGACUGGUGCUCCUGCGGCCAGUCUCUCCUUUCUCGGAGGCCGCGGCGCGACCGCGAGUCAGUGGCCCCAUCGCCUGGGGCCUAGCAUGGCUACCCAUCUUGGGCGCAGGGGGAGGGCGUGGGGCGACCUGACCAGUCGCGGGCACAGGGGGGUGUCGCCACGAGGGCGGUGAGAUCCACCUGGUCCCUCCUUUGGUGUUUCCAUCCGUGGGGCGUCGACGUCGCCUCGAGGCGGACCCUCAAGGAUCCGGUCGAGGCGACAUGCCAUCCCCUCGGAGUCGUCGCUGUCCUCAUCACCAUCUCCACCAUCAUCGUCGCUGGGGGAUUCUUCCUCGGGUUCCCCCCUCUGCCUGGAUUUAGCUCGACGCGCCUCUAAUGCUUGGCGGUUGAGGUUCUUCUUUUUCUCUCCUUUCUUUGCAGAAUCCUUGGCGGACUUUUGCUUCUCGGCGGACCGGCGCCGCGCGUCACGGUCGACCUCGUCCUCCUUUGCCGGAUGCCGCGAGGACCGGACAUCAAUCCGCCCCUGCCAGAACAAAGGCAGACUCAGAAAAGGGGUAGAAAGAAAUCCAGAAUCAAAGCUAUACACGAAAAGACAACAUACCAGAUCAAUCGAGCCCGCAUCAGGCCUCAUGGGGAAGCCGUUAACAUGCUCCGGCUUAAAGUCACCAGCAAUGGCGGCCCUGACCCUUGCCACGACUUCGUCGUUCGCCGGAGCCUCGCUCGACAUCCGGCACGCCUCGAGGUCCCGAGAUGAGGCGCCGGGGGCCAUCUCGUCCAUCCUCAGCGGUCGAGACAUCAAUGGGAGAACUCUCCGGUGAUGGACGGCCGAGAGGACGAGAGCGGCAGUCAAGCCUUCCGAGCGCAGCUUCUUCAUGACGUCGAGGAGGGGGUCGAGCCGAGAUUGAUGAACUUGGACGACGCCGUACGUCCAAUUCUCCGGACGCUCCGUGAUCAGACGCCCGGUGUAGGCGGGCAGGAGAUCGUCGUCAUUCCUCAAGUAGAACCACUGGGAAUCCCAGCCGGCGUGGUUAGUCGACAGUCCCACUGGGAUGUACUCACGUGGCCUCUUCGUCUUCCCCAUCUUCAGCACGACAUUGAGGCAGCCCGCCCGCACAGGCUUCCUCACGCCGGUGGUCCCAGUGGGGGCGUUGAAGAGCUCGCCCCUGUAGAGGUGGAGCCAUAGCUCCUAGUGGGGCAUCAUCCCCAAAUAGCUCUCACACACCGCGGCGAAGACCGCCGCGAUGGUGAUGGCGUUUGGGGACAAGUGCUGGAGCUCCACCCCAUAAUGGUGGUAGAGCUCCCGCGUGAAGCGGCUCGGGGGAGCGCCCAGGCGGUGGCGGUGGAACUUGGCGAACGAAACCACAUAGCCCUUGGGCGGCCUGGGCUCCCUGUGGUCCGCCGGCGGCACGAUCCACUUCGGCGACGACAGCGAGGUGCGGUGGCGCAGGAGUCCCUCCCUCUCAAGCUCUAGCAGCCGGCGCUCCGUCAUCGACGACGGACGCCAGUCGUCGGCGACGACAAGUCUCACAGGCAUCCUAGCCGAAGGGAUGGCGAAUUCGCUACUACUCGAGGGGGACACGCGCGCGUGAGAUGGCAAGAGCAGUAAGGCAAUGAGAGGGCUAAGGCGAGAGUGAAGACGAGAGGCAGAAGGGAGAACGGUGGCGGCGCCAAGGCACAUUUAUAGGCAGUUGUCCACCAAUGGGCAGAUCCGAUAAAUGAGGUAACUCCCCCCAUAAAUGCACCGUCUAAUGGUCCUUUCCCUCCUCACAGGUGGGGCGCUCCGAAUUCCACGCCGACGCAGUGUCGUAACGUCUCCCACCUAAAAAGGCGCGCCCAACGGGCAAGAAGGCAAACCGCCCACGGUCUUUUCCUUCCCUUGUAAGCCAAGGAGUGUACCCGUGAAAGCCUCGAGAGGUCGCAGGCUGGCCCACCGAAAGGGUUCGACAGCCGAUCUCGAGCACCAGAGUCAGGGAUCCCCAGCGAGUGGUCGAAGAUCGAGGCCCGUCUCGAAGACUUGCUGGGGAUGUCCAAGGUAGGGUCGAGAAAGUCGAGAGGAAUCCCCCCAACGGGAGGCAUCGAGCCGCUGGACUCUAUCGAAUGAGACCAGUAUCCCCGACCACAUCGACCCUGCUUUAUGAGAACGCCUCCGGACUACAGCUGACCCCCUCGAAAAGGGGCACAGGUUCUCACUUGGACUAUCUGCUAGAAACUCGACUUGGGGUGGAAGACGCUCGCUCUAUCGAGAGUACGUCGAAACCCCCGCACAAAACAAGCCAAUCAGGACCUUCCACCACCGGUGUCGAUAGCGAUUCUGAGAGUUAGGCAAUAUAACCCUCGAAGGAGUCAAAAACUCCUCCAAGGGUUCGGGGGCUACCCCCGUGGGGUCGCUCGCGCGCCCCCACGGAAAUUCGACCGCAAAAUAAAGCCUCCACUCGAGCACCAGCGCUCGAAUGGAGACUCGGGGGCUACUGUCGAGGGUAUCAGUAAGGGGUACCCUAACUGACGCACAUAACGAGAUUACCCGUGCACAGAUCGAGGCCCUCAACUCGACGUACUAAUAAGCCGUGCGGUCAUCGACGGCCGCAGCCUCGAAGACGUAAAUGACGUCGAGCGAACCACUCAAGGGUCCAGCGCUAACUACCGUCGAAUACGGAAAUGGGCUCGAGCGAAUCGGGAGGCGUCGAGCGCAAGGACACUGUCCGCCGCUUGACGCGCGCCCGAGAGCCAGGGCAUUUAAUGCGCCUAUCACUUUCCCACCUAACACGUUGGUCACGGGAAGCGUGAUAGGGAACAGGCACCCGUCCCAUCAUUCUUUUUGCAGCUUUCCCCACCAAACGGCUCAGAGCGUACCAGGACGCGGGAAGCAGGGAUGGAGCGUCUAAUCUGGACCUCCUCGAGACACCCAAGGUCAACGCUUUGGACAACAAGGCAGUGCACGGCGUCUAACCCUCGACCAGGCAUGAUUCCUGCCUGGGGAAGAGUUGGGCAUCGACUGACAACACCGCAGCCACUCCGCCAGAUCUGCCGCUAUACCGUACAGGCGUGCGACCGGUGAACCAGCCCGAGACGGCGCGCAGAGCAGGAUACUGUUGACGGUCCUUAAUGCUCAUAUUUAACCAUCAACUAAUCAUAGAAAAGGAUCCAAAUGCAACCAACACCUAGACUUAGGGUUUUAUCUGACAGAAUUCCACGAGUUUUGGUGUUUGUCUAUUUCUGCAGGGGGUUAUCAGGAAAUACGGAAGAAAGGCCCACACGUCGGGAUUACAUAGAGAUAUUAACGUGCCGUGCAAUUUUCUAUCAUCUAGAAGACUCCAGAAGCCACAGGAACGAACGGGAGGCCUAGCGGGCCCGGAGGCAGGGCGCCCGCCCUACCCCCCUGGGCGCCCGCCCUCCUCUGCUGGCCAAUCAGCACGAGUCUCGGGGAUUAUGCCCCAUCGACUCUAAGGAUCGAGGAAAAUCACACGAUGAAGGUCGGUUUGAUCGGAUGGUGGAGAAUAACGUGGAAAUUCCUUGGGAGCUACUCUUCCUAGAUUUCUUGGGGGCUACUCUUCCUAGAUUUCUUGGGGGCUACUCUUCCUGGACUAUAUAAGCAGACCCCCACCAGCCCCUGGAGGCAUACCUCUUCUACGGAAUCAAAGCUAGGGUUUCAAUUCUUCAUCCAAUUAGAGAGGAUCCCUCUAGUUAUUCUAGUUCUACCUCUAGUUCAUCUAGAUCUAGUUCUAGUUCAUCUAGUUCUAGUUCUAGUUCCUCUAGUUCUAGUUCUAGUUAGUUCUAGUUGUAAUCUAGAAAAUAGGGAGAGAGAAGAGGAGAGCGGAGGAGGAGCCGGAUCUGUCGGAUCUUCCUCAACAUUGUACUUUUGCAGCAUCUGGUUCGUUCUUCAUCGUUCUCCAGGUUCUUCAACUCAUAACUCCUGAGUUCUCUAAUUAUUUUUAUUUACAUUCAAGUUAUUUAUUGGAUUCCCGCUUGCAUCAAGUGCUCUAGUCUUUGAAACAUUAGAGUAGUAAUUAAUAGAUUAGACGUGGUGUUUAGUCUUGCGAUUACCUGGAAUUGCACCCAAUCCUACGGAUUGUUGUGGUAGCCCUAGGGUAGUGACAGCCCUAACGGUCGACGUAUUCCACCACGUUCGGAUCGGUGUUUGUAGGACCGUAGUCAGACCUUCCUAGCCCCCUUCUCAUCUCUUUCUGUGGUUAGUGCUCUAAUGUCCCGAUAUAGAUAAUCUUGAAGUAAUCCUUGAUUCUUAGAUCAACUAGAGAACUCUCAGGAAACUUCCUCUCUUCCCACCAAAAAUAAUUAUAUAGUUAUCCUUGGGCGAUCUUGAAUCUUAAUUAGUACACUCACGUUCUCUGUGGAAAAUCGAUACUCUGGAAUACUCCCGGGUGAAAGCUACAUCGGUAUCCGUGCGCUUGCGGAUUUUUUCUGUUUGCGUUUAAAAUACCCAACAAGCUUUCUGGCGCCGUUGCCGGGGAACGGUAGCUGUGCUAGUUUCGAACCAAGUCGUCCGUGUAUCCUUUUUCUUUUCCUUUUAUACCACACUCACCUUACCAUUUUCACCACACCACAUGGAUUUCACUCCUAUCUAUAAAUUCUUUGCUCCAAAGGGCGAGUUGUUAGAACCACCACCAUCAUCACAUCCAAUUCUUACAGAUGGCUACGACCUCGGCCCUGAUCUAAUUGCCAUGAUUCAGGAGCAAUCCUUCUCUGGGCAAGUAGAUGAAGAUCCAUACACCCACCUUAGAGAAUUUGAGCAGUUGUGCUCUUGCUGAUCUAUUUUCGGCAUGACACAAGAAACCCUUAAAUGGAAAUUAUUUCCGUUCUCCCUUUUGGGAAGAGCAAAAAAGUGGUAUGCUCAUUCUGUAGGAGGCGUUAAUGGAAGUUGGGAAGAACUUCGAGACAACUUUUGUCUCGCUUUCUUCCCACUUUUUCGAAUUGCUGACCUUAGAAUUGAAAUUCUUACAUUCAAACAAAGAGAGAAGGAAACUUUAGGAGCAGCUUGGGCUAGGUUCACAAGCCUUACCAAUUCCGGUCCAAACCUUUCCCUGCCUGACCAUGUACUGUACUACCACUUUUAUCGUGGUCUAAGCAAGGAGGCUGCUCUUCACCUCGACAUUGCUUCAGGAGGCUCAUUCACACACAAGCUCACAGAUGAGGGGAGAGCUAUCCUAGAGAGAAUCCUUGAAAAUACCCCUUACACAGGCAUUUAUGAUGAGUUUCCUGAAGAAGAAAAAGAAGUUGAGCCUAAUCCUAAACCAAAAGAAGAGGAACUUGCAACCGAGUUAGAAAUUCCACCUGACCCACCUAUUAAUUUGGUUGUAGAGAAACCUCCUGAUAAGGGAAUGCAAAACCAACUAAAGGAUGAUGAACCACCACCUUUACAGCAUCCCUUUGAAUUCGAGGAAGAUCUUUUUGAAGAUUAUGGAAACACCUCAAAUUUUCCUAUCCAAACACGACCUCUAGCAAGGACCACUCAAUCCAUUCUAAGAGUAGAAUCUGUUGACAUAGAACACAUCAAAAGCCUUUCGGCUAUUCUGAGUUAUGAAUGGCUAACAGAAGCAGAGCUGUCUCCUGAGGUAGCUCGAAUCAUCACUCCUUCAACCAUUCUUCUGUGCCAAAUUAGAAGGUCCGCUAGGAAGGUCCACUACAAUCCAUAUGUUGGGAUAAAUGUUAUUUCCAAGGAGUUAGCUGACACUCUUUAUCCCAACGAGUCCAUAACCCCAUCUCAAAAACUUUUACAAAGUCCAUCUAGAUUAAUUCUAGAAAUCCAUGGGGUAUUAAGGGCAGUUCCUGUUAGAAUCAAGGACUCUGGAAUAUGUCUAGAUUUUCACAUUUUUGACAUACAUGAGAUUCCUCUCUUGAUUGGUAGACCAAUCAUAAAACUUCUACAUGAACAACCACAACGAGGUCAUUUAGACUUCAAGGUUGGGAAUUCCACUAUUGUUGUUCCUCUUGCUAGAUCAAUUAACACGAUAGUGGAACCCAAACUUGACCCAGAUCCUAUUGAGGAGAUCUUAAUGGUGACUCAAGAGGAGAUGACCCAACCAUUCUUUAAUCAUGAACACUUUGUUCAAGAAGAAGAAGAGUUGGUAGAACCCGUUGAGCUAGAUAAAAAUGAACAACCUUCACCUCCUUCGAUAGAGUUAAAACCUCUUCCUUCUGGCCUUAGAUAUAUCUUCUUGCACAACAACCCAAACACUCUAGUAAUUAUCAGUGACAAGCUUUCCGAUUAUGAAACACAACAACUUGUCACUGUUCUUGAAAGACAUAGAUCAGCAUUUGGCUACUCUCUCGAGGAUCUCACGGGCAUUAGUCCCAUUCUCUGCACUCAUCGUAUCCCUAUUGAUCCCAAUUUUACACCUUCCAGGGAACCACAACGGAGACUUAACAAUGCUAUGCGAGAGGUUGUUAAGAAAGAGGUCCUGAAACUCUAUCAUGCUGGGAUUAUUUAUCCUGUGCCACAUAGUGAGUGGGUUAGCCCUGUCCAAGUAGUGCCAAAGAAAGGAGGAAUGACGGUCGUUAGGAAUGAGAAGAAUGAACUCAUCCCUCAACGAAUUGUCACUGGGUGGCGUAUGUGUAUUGACUAUCGAAAACUCAAUAAGGCUACAAAGAAAGAUCACUUUCCGUUACCCUUCAUUGAUGAAAUGUUGGAACGGCUUGCAAACCACUCUUUCUUUUGUUUCCUUGAUGGUUAUUCUGGAUAUCACCAAAUCCCAAUCCACCCAGAUGACCAAGAAAAGACUACCUUUACAUGCCCAUAUGGAACUUGUGCAUACCGACGAAUGUCGUUCGGAUUGUGCAAUGCUCCAGCUUCUUUCCAACGGUGCAUGAUGUCUAUUUUCUCGGACAUGAUUGAGAAGAUCAUGGAGGUUUUCAUGGAUGAUUUUACCGUCUAUGGCAAAACCUUCGAUCAUUGUUUGGAGAAUUUAGAUAGAGUCUUGCAGCGAUGUGAAGAAAAGCAUUUAAUCCUGAACUGGGAGAAAUGCCAUUUUAUGGUUCAGGAAGGAAUAGUGCUAGGACAUAAAGUGUCCGAACGUGGUAUAGAGGUGGACAAAGCAAAGAUUGAAGUUAUUGAAAAACUUCCACCUCCCACGAAUGUGAAAGGAAUCCGUAACUUUUUGGGACAUGCAGGGUUCUAUAGACGCUUUAUCAAAAAUUUCUCUCAAAUUGCUAGACCCCUAACUAAUCUCCUAGCUAAGGAUGCACCUUUCAUCUUUAGUGAUGAGUGUCAUGGAUCUUUUCAAACUCUUAAGAAAGCACUCAUCUCAGCCCCGAUUAUCCAACCACCUGAUUGGAAUCUUCCUUUUGAGAUCAUGUGUGAUGCUAGCGAUUUUGCGGUUGGGGCCGUUUUAGGACAAACCAAGGAUAGAAAGCAUUAUGCCAUAUCCUACGCUAGCAAAACCUUGUCUGGACCACAGCUCAAUUACACUACAACUGAAAAAGAGCUUUUGGUUGUUGUCUUUGCUAUAGACAAGUUUAGAUCUUACUUAGUGGGGGCGAAGAUAAUCAUCUAUUCAGACCAUGCUGCUCUCAAGUACCUCCUCACUAAGAAAGAUGCUAAGCCUCGUCUAAUUCGGUGGAUUCUUCUACUCCAAGACUUUGACAUAGAAAUCCGAGAUAGGAAGGGACUUGAGAAUUCUGUAGCCAACCACUUGUCUAGGCUUCAAUAUAAGGAAACACAUGAUGAGCUUCCCAUAAAUGACUACCUAAGGGAUGACACCCUACUUAAGAUAACACAUGCAGAUCCAUGGUACGCAGACAUCGUAAACUUUAUAGUAAAAGGCUAUGUCCCACCUGGUGCAAACAAAAGGAAGUUACUUCACAAUAGUCGUUUCCACCUUUGGGAUGAGCCAUAUCUUUUCCGAGUCUGCGCUGAUGGACUCUUGAGAAGGUGUGUUCCUAUGGCUGAGGCUACUCAAAUUAUGGAAAGAUGCCAUGCCUCGCCAUAUGGAGGACACUAUGGAGCAUUUCGGACACAUGCUAAAAUUUGGCAAAGUGGUUUUUUCUGGCCAACGAUGUAUGAAGAUACAAAGGACUUUGUCAGGAGAUGCCACCGGUGUCAAAAACAUGGGAAUAUUAACUCACGAAAUGAAAUGCCUCUCACAAAUAAUCUUCAAGUAGAACUUUUCGAUGUUUGGGGCAUUGAUUUCAUGGGGCCAUUCCCUAUGUCCGGGAAUUGCGAGUAUAUCUUAGUAGCUGUGGACUACGUGUCCAAAUGGGUAGAAGCCCUACCUUGUCGAUCAGCUGAUUCAAAACAUGCCAAGAGAAUGUUCCAUGAAGUAAUCUUUCCUCGCUUUGGUAUACCCCGGAUAGUUAUAAGCGAUGGAGGUUCUCACUUCAUCGACAAAAUCUUCCGAAAGUACUUAGCUGAUCAUGGAGUUCGACACAACGUUGCAACACCAUACCAUCCUCAGACUAGCGGUCAAGCCGAAACAUCUAAUAAACAAAUCAAAAAUAUUUUACAAAAGACCGUAGAUGAGAUGGGUAAGGGGUGGAAGGACAAACUUCCUGAUGCACGUUGGGCAUAUAGAACUGCAUUCAAAACACCCAUAGGCAUGUCACCUUAUCAACUUGUAUAUGGAAAAACUUGUCAUUUGCCUUUGGAAGUAGAGUUUAAGGCUCAUUGGGCACUCAAGAAAUGGAACAUGGAUCACCACCUUGCUAGCGAUAAUCGUCUGAUGCAACUAUCUGAGCUAGAAGAAUGGAGAGAGAAAGCCUACCACAAUUCAAGGAUCUAUAAAGAAAGAACAAAACGAUGGCAUGAUAAGAGAAUCAAGCACAAGGAGUUUAAGCCUGGAGAUAAGGUUCUACUAUUCAAUUCUAGAGUUAAGCUCUUUGGGCAUGGUAAGCUACGAAGUAAGUGGGAUGGACCAUACAAGGUUAUUGACACUUCAACUCAUGGAGCCAUUACCAUCCAAGACGACCUAGGUAACACCUUUAAGGUAAAUGAUCAACGCUUGAAAAUCUAUCUUGAGCCACAAAACAACCUGGCAGAGGAGCUUGAUGUGAUUGAGUUUAUAGAAUUCUCAUAUUAAGCUCUCAUAAGCUCUAGACAAUUACCUAACCCUUAACAUGUUCCACAAGUUUUGUUGUCUAUUUGGGUUGUGCAGGAUUUUGAGGCUUAAGAAGAGUGAGACCGAACAUGCAGGCCACCAGAGUGAACGACUAUGUCAACAUCCAGCUUGGGCGAGGCACCCCAACAUGUAUCUAGAUAAGUAUUACUUUUCUUUCUUGGUUUUAUUUAUUAGUAUUCGGAAAAAAAAAUGCAUAACCAUGAAACCAAACAAAGUUUUUCUUUUGAGUAAUAUACAAUAGUUUUGUGUAAUCCUAAGUUUUAAAUAAAAUAAAAAGAAAGUUUGAUUCAAGUCUAGGUAAUUGACAAACAUGAUAUUUGCAGGUCUGAGCUACUAUUUAACUUGUUCCAAGUUUUGCUAGAGUUCUGGAGAUUUUUUCUUUUGAAAAUCUAAAAAUUCAUAAAAUAUAUAUAUAUAUAUAGAUCAUAAUACCUAGAGUCUUAUAUAAAUAUUAAAACUGUGGGCACUUGCUUUGUUGAAGCCAUUGUUAAUUCUUGUAGUUUUGGUUGAGAGAAUUAUCAUGCUCCAAAGAUCAAGAUCUUUUUGUUUUAAUAAAAAUAUAAAAGAUUCACUCUUCCGAAGUAUUAUUGCGUUAGAGGCAUGGGAAUAUGUAAAAAUUUGAUUCAAAAGAAAAAAAAGUGAGACGAGAGGUAAAAAUGGACAAGUGUCCGAAGUAGAAUUAGGGGUACAAAGAUACCCACCUGAGUGGAAAAACUGGACAUGUGUCCGACAGUAGAAUUAGGGGUACUUGCUGCCCACUCAAAAAAAAGAGACUGAAAAAAAAAGAGAAAAAAAAUGAUAGCCCAUGGUCCCUCUAAUAAGCAAUAUGCCAUUAAGAGAUGACAAACUUCUCAAAAAGGUCAAAGGUCUUGAUCUAGGAGUAUGACAUUCCUCUCCCUUACUCCGAGCGUUGACAUAGCAAAAUGCAAAGUAAGUAUGCUAAAACUUUUAAAGCUCUACUUAUAUAUCUUUCGAGAAGAAGGCAAAUACCUCAGUUUUAUUUUACAGACUCAUAAAAAAAAACUCCAGAACAAAGGUAAGACAGAAGAACUUGAGACGUAGUGCUUGACUUGAUCAUUCUGUUUUUCAAUCACUUAAGACCUUAGUGAUAAAUUAAAAACCCUGUAGUAAGAGGCAUAAAAGUAACCCCUGUUUUCUUGUUGAUUUUAGCUUUGCUCAGGGAUGAGCAAAGGUUAAGCUUGGGGGAGCUUGCUAACGGUCCUUAAUGCUCAUAUUUUACCAUCAACUAAUCAUAGAAAAGGAUCCAAAUGCAACCAACACCUAGACUUAGGGUUUUAUCUGACAGAAUUCCACGAGUUUUGGUGUUUGUCUAUUUCUGCAGGGGGUUAUCAGGAAAUACGGAAGAAAGGCCCACACGUCAGGAUUACAUAGAGAUAUUAACGUGCCGUGCAAUUUUCUAUCAUCUAGAAGACUCCAGAAGCCACGGGAACGAACGGGAGGCCUAGCGGGCCCGGAGGCAGGGCGCCCGCCCUACCCCCCUGGGCGCCCGCCCUCCUCUGCUGGCCAAUCAGCACGAGUCUCGGGGAUUAUGCCCCACCGACUCUAAGGAUCGAGGAAAAUCACACAAUGAAGGUCGGUUUGAUCGGAUGGUGGAGAAUAACGUGGAAAUUCCUUGGGAGCUACUCUUCGUAGAUUUCUUGGGGGCUACUCUUCCUAGAUUUCUUGGGGGCUACUCUUCCUGGACUAUAUAAGGAGACCCCCACCAGCCCCUGGAGGCAUACCUCUUCUACGGAAUCAAAGCUAGGGUUUCAAUUCUUCAUCCAAGUAGAGAGGAUCCCUCUAGUUCUUCUAGUUCUACCUCUAGUUCAUCUAGAUCUAGUUCUAGUUCUAGUUCCUCUAGUUCUAGUUCUAGUUAGUUAUAGUUGUAAUCUAGAAAAUAGGGAGAGAGAAGAGGAGAGCGGAGGAGGAGCCGGAUCUGUCGGAUCUUCGUCAACAUUGUACUUUUGCAGCAUCUGGUUUGUUCUUCAUCGUUCUCCAGGUUCUUCAACUCAUAACUCCUGAGUUCUCUAAUUACUUUUAUUUACAUUCAAGUUAUUUAUUGGAUUCCCGCUUGCAUCAAGUGCUCUAGUCUUUGAAACAUUAGAGUAGUAAUUAAUAGAUUAGACGUGGUGUUUAGUCUUGCGAUUACCUGGAAUUGCACCCAAUCUUACGGAUUGUUGUGGUAGCCCUAGGGUAGUGACAGCCCUAACGGUCGACGUAUUCCACCACGUUCGGAUCGGUGUUUGUAGGACCGUAGUCAGACCUUCCUAGCCCCCUUCUCAUCUCUUUCUGUGGUUAGUGCUCUGAUGUCCCGAUAUAGAUAAUCUUGAAGUAAUUCUUGAUUCUUAGAUCAACUAGAGAACUCUCAGGAAACUUCCUCUGUUCCCACCAAAAAUAAUUAUAUAGUUAUCCUUGGGCGAUCUUGAAUCUUAAUUAGUACACUCACGUUCUCUGUGGAAAAUCGAUACUCUGGAAUACUCCCGGGUGAAAGCUACAUCGGUAUCCGUGCGCUUGCGGAUUUUUUCUGUUUGCGUUUAAAAUACCCAACAGAUACGAGGGCACGCGUAAUCAUCAUCAAGCUACCAAGACGGGACGGCUUGAGACCACGCCGGUACGGAGGCCUCGAGUAGGUCAGCGCGCCAUGCCUCUAUCGACCCCUACACUGACACCUAUACGUGUACCCUAGGUCUCUCCUUGGAGCAGAAAAGGGGAGACCCGAGAAUAGACACACAUCACCACACAACGCUACACCCGCACGUAGUAGAGACUCCACACUCCAUUCUACCCGAGCUUGUAUUCACCCCUGUACAAGCACUUAGGUGCAAAAUAAUACAAACUCUCCCCCCCCCCCGCUGGACGUAGGGCCUUCUCUUGCCCGAACCAGGAUAAAUCUUUGUGUGUCUUUUUGCAUCACCAUUUGGGAAAGGGAGCACGCAUACAAAUUUACUCGUUGGUGUGACCCCCCGUGUGGAAAACACCGACAAUAUUUCUGUUUUCCCUUGUGAAAUAAAUGCUCAAGUUAUCUUGUUACUACCACUUGUACGAGGAAAUAAAAAGGGGCAAGUGCCCGGAACCUCGAAAGAAAAAAAAGAAAAGUGAGACGAGAGGUAAAAAUGGACAAGUGUCCGACAGUAGAAUUAGGGGUACAAGAUACCCACCUGAGAGAAAAGAAAAAAAAAGAAGAGCAUCUCAUUCUCCUCAUAAAGUUUCAAAAAGCAAGGAAGGUAUGUAUCCCCUCAAGGAGCAAAAGUAGAAUUAGACUUCCACCAUUGUUAUCACCAUCAUCACCAUACACCAUUCAUUCGCCACACAUGCACAUCUUGAUUUGACUUAUUGAUUUGUUUCUUUGGAUCCAUGGUUUGACUAUGCAAUAAAUGUCUUGUAAGUAUGUAUAUUUUAUCUCCCACCUAUGAGCUCCAGCUAUUAAAGCCUUAUUAGAGUAGGGUGAGAGAGAAGGCAAUGUCACUAUGCUUUAUACCACAAAUACUACAUAUCUUGAGAGAAGGCAUAUACCAUCACUGCCUUGAUAAGGAUCCAGAAAUACCACAAAAGAGAGAUAUGAGAGAAUCAUACAAGGAAUCUCUGAGUUUUAUUUCAAAAUCUGCAAAAAACCCCAGAGCUAUAGCUGAUCAAGAAUAAGAGACAUGGCACUUGACUAGACUGUUCUAUCUUUUAACUACUCAAGACAGAAGUGACAGUUACAAGUCCCAUGGUGUAGGUAAAGUAAGUAAGUUUUAAGUCUUGACAGUUUACUCU